GUUUAUGUUUUCUGUUAUUAUAGUUAUAGCGUUGGAUCAUUUAGUCCACUAGUCCAGUGUCUUCUCUGAGGAGCUAAGGAGCUCAUUUCUUGCAUAGGUACACAGCUACAUGCUAUUUCCAUCAAGAUGUUAGGUUUUAGGCCCAGAAGCAUGCAUAUGACUAUGAUUGUAAACUGUAGACACAGAUGCUUAUCUCUGUUUUCAAUCAAGUUUCUUUUUUUUCUUUUCUGUUUUUAACUUUUGAUGCUUAUCUCUGCCGUGCCUGAUGAGCAACGUGUCUCUUUAUGACUGAUGAUAAUCUGUCAUUCUUUAGGUGAGUACAUUGACUUAAUUACAACGAACUUAUACCAAGAUUUUGUAAGACAGAUGCUAUAGUUUCCAUGUUAUAUCUUGCUUGUUGCUAAUUCAUAUAUAUAUAUAUAUAUAUAUAUAUAUAUAUAUAUAUAUAGGGAAAUUCCUUUGUACACGUACGUGUAGUUACUCUCAUCUUCAUAAACUACAUUGUGUAUGUAUUCAUACUUGUUUAUCAGUUUGAGUAUGUUUAUAUACUCAUAUUAAGAUACUCAGGAUCUUACCACGCGAAAAAUUUUCAAAAAAAAAUUUAUUUUAGAUAUAUUACUAAAAUGCCACUACUAUAUUAUAUACAAUAAGUAUAACCAUAUACUCUAUGUAUGUAUGCAUACUUAACAUACAUAUCACUCUAGAUGGUCUAGUAUGAUCAUAUACUUUGUCUAUAUACAUUUCGUCCGGUCAUAUACACCUUAAAUCUAGAGAUACAUAGAUGAGAGUAACUACACGCGCGUGUAAAAGAAACGCGUCCUAUAUAUAUAUAUAUAUAUAUAUAUAUAUAUAUAUAUAUAUAUAUAUAUAUAUAUAUAUAUAUAUAUAACGAUUAGGUAAUAUAAGUCUCUUGUGAUAUACUGAUAUAUUUUAGUUGAACUACUGUGCUUGUUGUCUGAUGUGAAUCCUUAUACGUUUGUUAAAUUAUUUAUUAUUGGUCUAAUACUUUCAAAUAACUGCAGAUUGCCUCUGUAAAAAUUAUAAGGAACAAGCAGACUGGGCAUUCAGAAGGUUAUGGUUUUAUUGAGUUUUACUCUCAAGCCGCUGCAGAACAUACUCUGAUGAACUUCAAUGGGCAGAUGAUGCCGAAUGUUGAGAUGGCUUAUAAGCUUAACUGGGCUUCUGGCAGCGCUGGGGAUAAGCGUGGAGAUAGUGGUUCUGAUCACACAAUAUUUGUUGGUGAUUUGGCUCCUGAUGUUACUGACUCUAUGUUGGAAGACAUGUUCAGAGCGAACUACCCUUCAGUUAGAGGAGCUAAAGUUGUUGUUGAUAGGAUCACUGGACGGCCCAAAGGAUAUGGUUUCGUGCGUUUUGGAGAUCUGAAUGAGCAGGCACGUGCUAUGACCGAGAUGAAUGGAAUGAUGUUAUCUACAAGGCAAAUAAGGAUUGGUGCUGCAGCUAACAAGAAGAAUAUGGAUGCUCAGCAGACAUAUGCAUCUAACGGUAUGUACUUGUGGAUCAUCUUCCUAUAGGUUUUAAAAUUAUUUUUGUUCUAUUGUUUCAUACUUGCUUGUGUAGGAUUCUGCAGGGGCAGGGGUACUGAUGAUGAGAGCACCUAAGUGCAUCACUGCAUCUUGAAAAUUAUACCCACUUAUAUAUUUUGAUUUCGUUUUCCAUUUUUCUUGCUGGAGGGAUGAUAGUGUGUUCAUAGCAGUUUUCUUUCUAGUCAUUCCACUGCAGCGUAGCUGGCAUAGCUUCUUUCUGUAAACAGACAUUUACUUCCAGCUCUUUCCGUUCCAAGUCUAAGUUUGGGAUAACUUAACACAACAAAGUAAUAAAACCACUAAACAAAAUUCGUGUUUCUCAAAGCAGGAUGCCCUGCCAUCUGCAUUUAGGGCCUGGAAAUGUCUUCAGAUGUCUCCUGUAACCCGUGCCUCGGUUAGGUCAGUGUUUAAUUUUUGUGAGAUUUUGGUUCUAAAGUACUUUAGAGGGCCAACUAUAUGCUAUAUAUUUGUACUCUCUCUCAGGCAUCAAUUUAUCUGGACUUACUUUCCAGUCUUCCUAUGCUUUCAUUUUUUUUUGGAAAAAAUGUCAAUCAUGUUCCAGUACUUGUGAUAGCUGAUAUUUACAGAAUUUUAUAUGUUUUGUAAUAUAAUUCUUUUUAUAUAUUCCCUUUUUUUCUCGUCUUUGGAUUAGAUUUCUUAUAUCUGCACCUAAUCUCACCUGUAACAUGCUUGUUUACUACACAUUGUACUUUAUAGUGCAGGAAGCUCCUAAUUUCACCUGUAGCGGGUCCCCUCAAUGUACCAUUUUGUAGAGUUACUCCAAAUUUUGCUGCGGUGCAGAAAAUAUUCUUUUUUUGUUCAACUUUCCGCUGCUUGUGCCUGCACUUACUUCCUCAUGCAUUUUAUCUGGUUUAUUCCAUGCUGCAGAUUCCAUUUGCUUGUAUUUAUCAUUAGUUUUCUCUCAAUGCACUUUGUAGUUAUGCAUAUUUGUUUGUUGUUCAUGUAUUCUGCUUAUCUGAGUUUGGAUUUGAUAGUUGGGUCUAAACAGUAAAAAUUAAUUUCUUAUAUUAACUAUUUUAUCGGCAGUUAAUGCCUCGGAAUAAGAUAUAAAAAAUAAAGAAACGAAAUAGUUGAGCUAAUAUGUUCUACUUCAUGCCUGUGGUAGUGCAUGGGGAUAAUCCUGGUCGUGAUUAAUUCUCCCAGUUGCUGCUACAUAGUUGGGGUAAUUUAAAGAUACAGGGUAUUGUGUAGAUAAUCUGAGCUUAUCUACUGACUGUUUAGCUAUAGUACUUAAAUUUCUUCUGUUGCAGCCAAGCAGUACAUGCAGUGAACAACUCUUUGAAGCAAGGAUUUCUUGUAUUCUUCCUCUGGCCUCAUUGGAAUGCUAACCAUUUCUUUAUUUGUUUUUUUACUUACAUUACCGCAAAUGGUAUUCGCUAUUUUGGAUCAUUAUACUUACUAGAAUAUGUUAAGCUAUUACUUUUGCUGGCCAGAAUAUGGGUGUCCAGUUUCCAAUGCUAUUAUUUUGGGGGGUUUAAUUCCCAGCCAGUUUGCUAGUUUUGUUGCUGAUGGUUUGUCCUUGCCAUUGCAGGAGCAUACCAGAGCUCUCAAGGAAUUUCUUCAGAGAAUGAUCCAAACAAUACAACAGUAAGUGGACCUUUUUUCUCAAAAAGGAGACUUAGGAAUUCCUGUUACCUUAUCUUUCAUUAUUUUGCAAUAGGUAUUUGUGGGUGGGUUAGAUUCCAAUGUAAAUGAGGAGUAUCUAAGGCAAAUUUUUACUCCGCACGGAGAAAUUUCCUAUGUGAAGAUUCCUGUAGGCAAGCAUUGUGGAUUUGUUCAAUUUACCAGCAGGUUCAUAUAAAUGCUUAUUGCUCUUUAAUUAACCGUUCAGACUCUGAUGAUAUAUGUGGGUUAAUUCUUUGUUGCCUGAUUAUGUUACCAUAUUUCAGGUCAUGUGCUGAGGAAGCCAUCCAAAUGCUGAAUGGGAGUCAGAUUGGUGGGCAGAAAGUUCGGCUUUCAUGGGGCCGUACUCAAAACAGACAGGUAUUUUGUGUGGUGGAAUCUUAGUUUUUGCUGAAUUCUUACUUACCUAACAGUUGAUUAAUCCAAAUGCGAUUCUUCAUCAGGCUUCUCAGCAAGAUGCCAACAGCCAGUAUAAUGGGAACAGCUAUUAUGGAUACCGACAGCAGGGUUAUGAAGGUUAUGGCUAUGCUGCACCCAAUACACAAGACCCAAGCAUGCAAAACUACUAUGGAUACCCUGGUUAUGGUAACUAUGAGCAGCAGCAGCAGCAGCAGCAGUCAACACAGGAACAGCAGCAGCAGCCUCCACCAGCACAGGAGCAGCAGCAACAGCAGCCUCCACAGCAGGUAGGACACCGACAAUCCCUAUUGUUUAAAUCUUACUAUCCUUUCAUAGUUGGAAUUAGGAAAUCGACUGUUAAAAAUAUUACUAUCCUGAACCAGCCAACUGCUGGUUUGCUGGUCAUACAGUGUUAUGUUACGAGUCUUCUAUGUUGGGAUGUUGACAAGGCUGAUGAGUAACUUUGUGGUCUUUCAUUUGCAGUGAUGAUCAUGCACUUCUGGAGAUCUAUCAGAUCAGAGGGAUGGUAGAGUCACAGGCCACUGCCUAAUGAGACAGAUAUGGAGGUCAUGUAGUUGCAUGGGUGCGGUUGGACUUGUUCUUGGGGACCAGUGUUAAUUGAUGAUGGCACUCCACACUCCAGAUGUUUCUUUUGUUUGUCGUUGAGAUCUUGACCGUUAAAGUAUGCUCUGUUGAGAUUGAUGUCUUCGUCAGAUUGUUAUUGUGAGCUGUCUGGGUAGGGUGGUGGUCAAACGUUUGUGCACUCUUGGUGAGCACUCAAUGACGAUUUGCGACAUGGAGCAUACUGUGCAUGCAUCGCCCAAAAAAAAACGCUCAUAAACGUAGGGGAUCACCUAAAACUUGGUGGGCACAUAAACUGAUGAACAUGGGGGGUGUCACCUAAAGCUUAGUUUAGGUGGAUGGCUCAAGUUUUCUAGGUGGCUAAAGUUUAGUCUAAUGCUGGACUAAAAGUGAACUGAAAGUUUAGUUGACUGAAGUUCAGGUGGACUAAAAAAACUCAUGUGCACCUCUUAGGCCCUGUUUGGCACAGCUCAACUUUACUAGUAAAAUAGUUUUUUUUUUUAGAAAAUAGCUUCAUGAGCAACUUUAUACAUGAAGCUAAGCUAUUUUGGAAAAAAUGUUUGGCAAAAAUAGCUUCACCAACUCUUUUUUACAUAGAUGGAAGAAAGAAAUGAGAGCUAUAAUAAGCUACUUUUUUUUCAGCUUCAUCCCACUCAUAUUUUUGUGAGAGAAAAGAAAAACAGCUUCACCUAUAAAGCUGUUUUGAAAAUAAGUGUUUGGCAAAAAAAAAACACACACACAGUUCACAACAGUUUACUUUUGGUCCGUCUAUUUGGAUAUCUAGGCCAGUAGUUUAGAUGACUAACGUUCAAUCAUGCGUGAGAUUUUGAUGAGCGGAGGUUGAGGAGGGCGAGGGCCUGUGUCGGCCUAAGUGAGAAUUUGAUGAGAUUAUGUCACCGGAGUGUACUGGAUCGGACUCAGCCACGCUCGCGGUUUGCUGGAAGGAGCGCUCACACUGCUGGAAGGGCGCCGAGGCUGAUGAAGCAGGCAAAGAGCUGUAGUACUGUGCUCUGGUUGUAGGCAUGGAAAUAGAGGUGAUGAUCAGGAAAGAGCAACUCCGGCGGGGAUGGUGGCUGGAAGCUGGAUCCGAAGUCGAGCACGGGCAGAUACGGCGCAAGAGGGAACUCAACGAUGGACCCUCUGCUCCAAAAUGCCAUCAGAACUAGCCACAACAGACAAUGGAGACUACCUAGACAGCUAGAUCUAACCUACAGCUAGAUCUGUAUGUUUGUUGAUUAAUCCGAGGGAACCGUCAUGUCAUUUCCACCUGUCAUUAAAAUUCAUCAGACUCCACAAGGAUGCUGUAACAAUCAUUGUAAUGCGAUUUCAAAACUUUAAAAAACCAGAGCAUAUAAGAUUUCUUGGGGUAAUACAGCAGGUCACACUGAUUUCUCACAUAUCCAUGAACGUAUGCAUGAUAAGUGGAAACCAACUCCCAGAAAACAUUUAUAAAAAAAAAAGAGCCGCAACAAGGUCAAAAUUUCAGCCCCUUCCAGGUUGGAGCUAGCUAAUAGGCAAACCCCUACACCAUCAGGUUCCUAAGCUAACUGUGCAUUUUACUCAGGAGCUUCAGUGCCAACGCCUCCUGCUGGGCGAGAACGUCACCGUCCUUUGCAGCAUCAUUGUCUUCGCCGUCACUGAAGUACCUCUUUUUACCCUUGUUGGCUGUGUCUUGGCCUCUGUCUGAUUCUGAGCCACUAUCCUCCUCUGACCCUGCUUCAGUCUCUUCCUGCCUCUUGCGCUUAAGCUUCAACUUCUUCUGCAGCUUCUUCUCCCGCAAGCUCUUCUUGUGUUCGAGCUUGUCCUCCUUGUCGUGCUCCCGCAUUUCUCUCAACAUCUCUGCAUACCGCUGCGAAACUGUAGCCACAGAUACAAUACAAUAAGCAACGUCAUAAUUAGAGUUCACAUCCUUUGUGCAAAUCAUGGGCGACAUAAAAACAGAGACAGAACAAACUUUUAUCCUUGUGAACCACAGGUUCUAAAGAUAUUUCUUCAGCGACAGAUGCGAGAGGCGGGAUGGCGUUGCCCUCAUCAUCAUACUUGACCCUUGUUCCCGAUGGCCUGUUCACGUUUAUCUUCAGUUUCUUCUUUUUGAAGGGUCUUUCAAGUCUGACAAGGACAAGCUGUUAGCAUAAAUUCGACAAACAAAGUCUGGAAUUAAAUAUUGGUAGCAUCAAAUUUGAAAGAUAGGAACCUCUUAGUUUCGAAAUUGAGUUGCAUGGUACAUACCCGGUCACAUUUGUAUCUGUGGCAGGCUCCUUGGGGUGAAGGACAUCAUCAAGUCUGUAGUCCAUAUUAGUAUCUGCAGUGGGCUUCUUGGGAUAAAGGAUAUCAUCAUCUCCAUCACACACAGAUAAAUCACUGUUGAUCUUUGGAGUGAUGAUAACUUCACGUUUGGAGCUGGAUUUCAUCUGUUUCAUAUCACUGUCCUCCAUAUCUUUCUUCGACACAUUCUUCUUGUGGCUUAUGAAGCGGAUCUUGGGGGUAACAGGCAGACCAAGCGAAGCAGCGUAUGCAGCAAACUGCUCUGCAGAGAACCUGCUCAGGUCGAACACCUUUUUGUCUUUCUGGAGGUAUAUGGACUUGAGAUACGUAACAAAAGCCCUUUUACCCAAAUCCUGAAGACUGGGAAAUUUAACCAGCACCGAGGCUAUAUUCUGAGAUAUCUGCUCCAGUUGUUCUGCCUUUGGCUACAUUGAAGAAAUCAAGAACAGUAAGUAUAAUAAAUAAAAAAGAAGAAAUGCAAGAACUAGUGGAAGCUCUAUGCUAUAAACAGCUGUCAGAUUUUGUCACUUGAGAACGAAUAACCAUUCUAAACGCUUGUCUCAGCAUCUACCACAUAGAUCAGCCAUAAUCAAUUAAGUGCUAAAAACAGAAAAUACUGCUGCUAACCUUUCGAAUAUGUAUAGGUAUUUUACUUUCGGUUGCCUUCAAUUUUUCAAGCAUUGCUUCUUCUUCAGGACAAAGGAAUACAAGUGAUUUUCCUUUCUUAUUGUAACGAGCUGUACGCCCAACUCUGUGGAUGUAAUUAUCAAUGUUUUCUGGGCAAUCAACCUGCAAAUGAGAUAAAUAGGUUACAACAAGAGAAUAAAAAAAUACAAGAAAAAUGAAAAGGUUACAGCAAGAGAAUAAAUAAAUACAAGAAAAAUGGUAGUGGUUAACAUAGUGGCGUACCUGUACCACCCAAUCCACAUUCUCUAUAUCCAGUCCUCGAGAGGAUAUAUCAGUUGAGAAAAGAACUGAAGUAGUUUCAUUGAAAUCUGCAACUAUGGCCUGCUGUACCUCAUAUUUCAUCCGUCCAUGCAUACAUUUCAAAGGAAUACCAGGACGAAGUUUCUUAAAAAUUUCAUAAACAAAUUUGACCUGCAGAAAUCCAACAUUGGAAGACAUGAGAAAAAUACACAAAUAUAAUUAUGCAACACAAAUGUACUUUUCAGAAAAAAAAAACAAUAACUGACUACCUGCUUGACGCUAGAUAAGAAGACUAUCGUCUUUGAAUUUAGAUGCCUUUUAAUGAAGCUCCAAAGCAUAUUUAACUUCUGCUCAAGAGGUACAAUCAUGGCAUACUGCUCAAGAGUAUCUGGAGUGGCUGUUUUGGCCUCCUCAUGCACACUUAUAUAUUCAGGGUCCCUUAGGCUAACCCUUGCAAGGUCCUUAACUGACUUCGUUUGUGUAGCUGAAAACAGUAAAGUUUGUCUAACUUUGGGAAUCUGAGAAAUGAUAGCAUCAACCUGGCUUCUGAAACCGUGAUCGAGAAUUUGAUCUGCCUCGUCAAGCACCAACAGCUGUUUUCCCAUAGGGAAAGAAAAAUGAAACAAAAGCACUUUAUUAGAUUAUAUCAACACAAAAGUGGUAUUCACUACGAUCAUAGAACAAGAUACGCUUGAUUACCUGCAGCUGUGAACAAUCAAAAUUGGCAGUUUCGUUUAAGUGCUGGACUAACCGACCUGGCGUGCACACUAAGAUAUUCAAGCUGUUCACAUGUUCCUUCUCUAGUUCAAUACCCUUGCGCUUACCAACAAUGGCGCCACCACUAAAGUUAUGGAACUGCCCCACCGUUGUGAUCACCUCAAAAAUCUGCCCAGCCAAAUCAUUUGUGGGGGAGAGAAUAAUGCAGCCCACACCAUCCUCUGGACCCCAUCUCUCUCUGUACAGCUUCUCUAAAACCUGCAAAGAUGAAAUGUGAUGUGGUGAGCUCAUAAGUAAUAUUAGCUGUCAUGAUCAACCAUACUUCUUACAAGGGAACAAUUGCAUGGAAAUAUGAUGAGCUAGACACAAGGUGUAACAGACACCAAUGUACAGGGCACCAUUCGCGCAUUUACCAGCACUAAAUAUUGAAACUCUGAUCGCAAUUCAAUUCACACUCCCAGUGUUAGGACCGUUCUUAGCCCGCAAUCUCAAUACCCGAACAUAAACGAGUAAAUUAAGCAGCAGCGAGAGAAAUUUACAGGGAUGACAAAGGCGAGGGUCUUGCCGGAGCCGGUCUUGGCCGCGCCGAGGACAUCGCGGCCACAGAGCGCGUGGGGCAGGGCGGCGCGCUGGAUCUCACUCAUCUCAGUGAACCCCGCCUUCCGCAGCCCGUCCUUGGUCUUCUGCGACAGCGGUAGCUCGUCGAAAAGUGUGCACGCGCCGUACUCCGGGUGCUCCCCGGCCGCCGGCGCUGGUCCCGCUGAUUGCGACAGGGGCGGGGGUUUGGUGCGCGGGAGGGGCUUGCCGGCGUCAAUCCAUUCGUUGAGGAGGCAAAUCUCGUCGACCUCCCGCAGGCGAGUCUGCUUCGCCGCGGCGCGGCGCUUCGGGCGGCGCAUGGCGGCUACUAGGGUUUAGGGUUCCGUGAAGUAGGGCUGGAAGGUUCUAGAAAAUGUGCAGCUCCGGUGCCAGGGUUUUUAGCCCGGACGGGAUUUGGCUAUUUGAGGCUGGCUUUGGCUUGACCGCUACUCCUCGAUCCCAAGUCCUUUACCGUUCUCUCAAAAAAAAAAAAAGUCAUUUACCGUGAAACUUUGGUUGUUUAGUUGACCCCAAAAACAAAAAAAACAAAAAAAAUAAAAUUUUCUAUCACAUUGAAUUUUAGACACAUGUAUGGAACAUUAAAUAUAAAAAAACAAAAACUAACUACACAGUUUGUCUGUAAAUCGUAAGAUAAAUCUUUUGAGUAUAGUUAGUUACACAUAAUGGCAAAAAUAACAUUUUUAAGGAAUACAGAACACUCCAAUAAAAACUACAUUAACCACUAAGAGCAACUCCAACCAGGCCCCUAUUUGAACCCCUACUCUAAAUUUUAGGGGUUUUAACAAAAAAAUCAACUCCAGUGGAGUCCCUACUUAAGCCCCCAUUUUACAAGUCUCCCCAAAUUUUAGUUUGAGCCCCCUAGAUCUGCUAGCCCCUACCUGUGGGACCCACCCCUCCCCACCCCGGCCGGCACGCGGUAGCGCACGGCGGAACCGCGCCGCCGCCGCCCGGCUAUGCGCCGCCACGUCGCGUUGUGCUCAUCGGCGGCGGCGUCUAGGGAGUGUGCCCUUGCCGGCGACGGAGAUCCACACGCGCAGUACACCGAGACAAACGCGAGCUCGUUCGUUCCCCCUCUCAAAACUGCGCUUGUGAUCCUGGUUCGCCGGUGUCGUCGAACCCUCCUGCGUCUCCACCCAUCAUCGAUCGGACGCCGUGGCGCCCAUGGCCAAUCCGUCCUCGCCCACGUCCUCCAGCCGCUGCGGGACGGUGCGGAGGAGCGGGUCGGGCGUGCAGGCCGGCGGCGCGUCGAAGACGGCGAGCGGGAGGUGCUUCUUGACGACGCCGACGUUGAAGUAGAUGAAGCCGGAGGAAGGGAUGUCGACCUUGAUGUCGUGGACGGGGAACCACAUGAGGAGAUCCUGCGCGGCGACGCCCGAGAUGGCGGCGAUCUGACCGGGGCUGAUGACCCCGGUGACGGUGGUGUUGUAGCGCAGGCCGACCUCGAAGCGCGCGGUGCAGGGCACCUCCAGCUGGGCCUCGAACCGCCCCGUGGCCGUGUCGUGAUGGAACGCCGUGAUCCCCGUCGGCAGCUGGUGCGCGCGGAGCACCUCGUUCGCCGCCUCUGCUGCCGCCGUCGCCGCCACGCGCCACUCCGUCGCCAGCGCUGCUACCGCCGCCGACAUGACCACCAGCGUCCCCAGCGCGGCCGCCAUUCAAGCCAGCGAGCGGAGCAGCGGGGCGCCGGCGCCGGUGCGAGCAGAGGAUAGGGUGUUGGGCUGGAGUUGGAUGCAAUUUUGGGUUCUUAUUAUUUUUAGUCCAGCCUAUAAAUAGAAUUUUAGGGGCCUAAUCUGAGAACUUGCACUGGAGUUGCUCUAAGCUGGAAUUGCAGUUGCGGAGACGACAUUUACCAAACAAAUCCAAUAUGAUGGGGAUAUAGAUAUCCUUGCCAUACACACUCAGCAAAAAAAAGUGACCAAUUACAUGAGCUUGUACACGUUGUUUAAGUUGUGAGGAGAAUUUGUUACUCUCACUUUUUUUUUAAUACUAGCAAAUAUGUCCGUGCGUUGCAACGGAAGAAAAACAUCAAAUCUAUACCUAAAUCUUAUCUCACUCUAAUAUAACCUCUUAAUAUACCUCAGUAUUAUAUUAAAACAUGAGAAGUUUGAUGCUAGCAUUAUUUUUUUAUUUAGAUUAGGAUUGCUAUGAAAUAUGAAUCAAGCAUCACAUUAAAUAGGCUAUCAUAAAAUUUUUAUAAUAAUUGUAGCAAGAUAACUAUAUUUUUAAUUUUACACUAAAAAGUAUAGGUAAGCAUUUCCAAAAAAAAGUGUACUAAAAAUUGUGAUAUUUUUUGUUUACUGCAUGGAUCUACAUAACAAAAUUUGUUUUAUAAUUUUUAAAUUUUUCUAUGAAUUACUAUGUAUUUAUCAAUUUUCAGCCGAUUUAAAAAAUAAAAAAAAAUAAAUUGGAGAUUUUACAUUGGGAACUCUAAAAAAAAUUUUAUUCUUUUUUCUCUUUUCUAAAGUAAUAUAAGAUUUUGCAUUAGGAACCUUAAAAUGUUUUUUAUUUUGCUUUUGCUCUUCUAGAAACGGACGGAGAAGGCUACGGAACGAUGGAGGAGGCGACGGAUUCGGUAAACGAAGGCGGACAGGACCGGAAGAAAAAAAUAUCGAUGCAGAUUGAAAUUUUGGCUCUUUAUAGAUACUAGCAAAUAUGCACGUGCGACACGCACGUGUUUAUAGAAACUAUUUUUAAUGUAAUAUGAAUAUCGAAUAAAUAUAUAUGGUAAGUGUUUGAUUGAUUUGAUCGGGUCGUCUAGACACGGAUUAUAUAGAUGGUACAAUGGUUAGAGGGAGGCGUGUUAAAUAAAUAAGCUAAUUUUUUAUCUCGUUGUUGUUGUUGUUAUUAUUAUUAUUAUUAUUAUUAUUAUUAUUAUUAUUAUUAUUAUUAUUAUUAUUAUUAUUAUUAUUAUUAUUAUUAUUAUUAUUAUUAUAUUCGAAGUGCACACGAUGCACGAGGAUGUUGUUGACGAAGGUGACCUACCGUUUAAUGUUGCUGGCAGACUUGAGCUCCACAUAAAAGUGCAAGCCGAGGACGCAUGUCUAAAGGCUGCGCCACAGACCCGUGUGCACCAGCUCGCUUGGCGGUGUCAGAUUUGUUUUUCCUCUAUGGAUGGAUGGACAAUCGUGCUCUCUCGUUCUAUAUAUACAUAUAUACAUGCAAUACAAUGGACAGGGUUGGACAAAAUUGGUAUUGGAAUCAAAUACGUGGUACGCGUAUCCUUUUCUAGAACGUGAUAAUACAACAGUAUGUUGUACGCAAUAGUCCAGAGUCAUAUUUCUAUUUUGUUGAAUAAUUUGGUUUACUUGCCAAAAUCAAAGAUCAAUAAUUUCUUUUCUUUAUUACUUCCACAGUCCAACUGGGUGGACAUGUUCUAUCUUAAAGGAUAUUUUUUUAUUUUACUUACCAAAAAUCAGGGAUUAAUAAUUUUUUUUCUUCAUGUGUUGACGACAACAAAGAGGGGGUCAUAGAGUCCUUACAGGGGAUAGAGAGAUCGUGGAGCCCGUUUAGUAUUGUACGUGUGUGACGUGAGAUUGAGUUACAGACGUUUACGUCUUAUACAUGUAAGAUGUAAGAUCACGUAUUACGGAGGGCUCAUAUAGCACGAAGUCCAAAUCGAACGGUUAUUACGCAGGGAGAGAUCCCCUAAAAAAACUCGCUCUUUUAUAGUGUGAUUUAAUAAAUAUUAAUAUGAUAUCGUAUGUUAUUGAAUUCUUAUGAUAUUUUAAUCAUAAAGAACAUGGGAGUAACUACAGAUGAAUCAAUCGUGUGGAGCUCCUAUUGAUUUUAAAUCGGAGUUGAGUUCGGUUGGUAUCUAGUAGAUGACUCCAUACUAAAUCGGCUAUAAUUCCUCGUAGAGUCCAAUUAAUACGCCACUGGAUGUGUUUAAAGGCAAUGAUAACUCUAUUUUGAUUUUGAUCUUAGCUCCAGAUUCAUCAUAAAACCUUUUGUAAGUGUAUAUGGGUACAAGCCCAAGAUGUGGGCAACCCUGCCCAUUCCGCGUCGCCCACAAACACAUGAUGAUGCUGUGAUAAAAAAACAAACACAUGAUGUCCAUGUAGCCGUCAUGCAUGGAUUUACAUGACAAAUUGACUAAAAUGAGAUAAUGAAGAUUGGAAUUUAUAUAGAAUUAUAGUAUUAAUUACUUUCAUUCUAAAUUAUAGAUUGUUUUGGCCCAUUUUACAAACUUUACAUAUAGCAUAUAUUUAGGUUACAUAUUUAGAAAAAACUAAAACCGACUUAUAAUUUGGUAUAAUGCUACUUAAUGUUGAAUCUUAUUCUCACAAAAGUUUUUUUCUAAAAAAAUGUGCUCCUAUGUGCUAGCUGAAUAAAAAAAUCGUUGAAUCUCUACAACUAAAAAGACCCAAAUGUCAUCGUCAUCGCCCCGCUAAUCGCCCCACCCCGCGCAACGCUGGCCGACGACGCAACGAUUUUCAUCUCUGCCCCGCUCCCUUCUGCAGCCUCCGCACAAACCAACGCCCACGCUCACCUCCCCUCCGUGGCAAAGAAAAAACUUCUCCCACGUCUCCGAGGAAACCGCCUCUCUCUGAAUCGCGCCGCCAAGCAGAGCCUGCGUGGCAUCCCGGCGAUGUUGGCGCAGGCGGUCCGUGCUCUCACCCUCUCAUCUCGGCGGCGCAGGCGGUCCGUGCUCUCACCCUCUCAUCUCGGCGGCGCAGGCGGUUCGUGCAGGAUUUGAAUGGGGAGGGGGAGGUUGCAGCCGCGGCAAAGGCGAGUGCGUUGCGACCGACGAGCACUGGAUUGGGAGGUGUCGAGGUGAGGUCGCCGGAUUUCAUCAUAUUUCUCGUGCUUUCGUUCCGUUCCGUGCUUGCCCCCACAAUUUUAAAGCAGAAAGUACUGGAGCCUGGAAGUAGGUUUUCAAGUGGGUGGGGGCACCGGCGACGAAGACGAUGAGGGCGUCGACACCAAUGUCGCGCGGCGCAGCCUACAUCUGUGCAGCCAUGUCGACAAGCUCCUUAUCCUCCAGCUUUCUUCUCGUCCUCUUCUUGCUGCAGAUCUCUCCAUAUCCCUCUAUUUCUAUCUAGCAUUAUGUUGUAUGCAGGAUUUGGCCGCCGUCUGGUUUCGUUCUUGAUUCUACCGAAGGCUAGCUAACGCAGCCGAUCCUGUGAAGCCAAUCCUCCGUUGUAGCAUUUGCAUUUAGAAUAAAGCUUAAAUACACUAUGCCUCAUAGUCUCAUACUAAUUUUGGUAAAAAAAAUACAAAACCUAUGGCAAAGGCAGUCUAACUCAUUAGAGUGCAUGAACCAAUAAAUUCAGUUUGAUGAAUGCUUCAGUGUUAUACUAUUACAGUAAUAAUUGAUUUUAACUUCAAACAAUGUAUAGGCAGUCAUCACACCAUAAUUGUUAUUUAAAUUCUUGUCUGCAAUCUGGUAGUGUGAAACUGUCACACCUAUGGCCAUAAAUUAUGGAGUACUCCUUGGUUUCAAUAUUGGUAUCAAGUUAGCUUCUUUGUUCUUAUAAAAAACGAGUUACACUGCCUUGGCUCCUCGCCACUCUGUGUUUUGGUACCCAAGUCUACUUUACAUAUUUGGUAAAUAUGUGCAUCAGAAGCAAAGCAUAUGGUCCUUGUGCAAAGCUAAAGUUCUUGUGCAUUAUUAUUCAUGAUUCAGGACAAUGCUAUAUUAUCUAUAAAGUCAGCCAACUUUAUUUUUCUUUCAGAUUUUACUUCAAUCUGGUCAAUUAAAAGAUAAUAUUCAUGUAAUACCAUAAAAAUCUGUAUUUCCUUGUUCAAAGUUUUCAUUGUGCUUCGGCGCUUUAACACUACAUAGCAUUGAAAACUAGCCCCAUCUGUAAAAUGUAAAGAGAAACAGUACCUUAGUGUAAAAAAUAAAGAAAAACAGAGAUGCCAACACUAAACUUUGACACCUGAACAGCAUGCCCUAUGUAUAUAUCUCUUCAGUUGUUGAUGAAAUAUGAUGAUGCAUGCUGAAGUGCCCAUUAUUCCCCAUGUGAUGCAGGCACCAAUCAGGAUCAACUUCGGUGUUCAAAGACGAUGCAGGUCCAACCAUCUAAUCAAAACUCAGUUUUUGCAGGUCCAGUGGGACAACAUUUGCCCGUUAUCUGGUAUAUACCUGUUGCACUAUGAUCCCUGUUUUAUGAGCAAACAGUAUCUACCCAAUGGAAAUUGGAAUUUUUGGGAAUAGUAUAGUACAAAAGUCGUGCCAGUGCUUGUGAAUAUUUACUUUGAUUUUUCUUACAAUUAGUUUAGCUCUAAAAUUUUAUGUGGGCACAUCUACCUUUUCUAUUAUUUUUGGGAAAUUCCUCUGUUUAUCUCCAUCGAUCAGUCCAUCCAUCCAUCUACCUUUAAAAGGAGAGUUUUUCAGCAUUAUCAUCCUGUUUGGUCUAUUCCCUCCCCUCACUUUCUCUUCUCAUGGUUCUAUUCCAACAAAGAACAGAUGAGUCUUAGAAGUUGUUACAAGUGGUCGUGCACUGUCAUGUAGACUUUACUGUGUUUCUCAGGGACCAUAUGCCCUGUACAUCAAUAUCUUUCAGUUCAUUGUGUUACUAUUUUGCAGGCCAUCGAUCAGAACAGAGAGCUUUCUAAAAAAAACCAUAUUGUUGAUCUCUGGACUUUUUUUGUUAUUUUAGUGUGGGUUGAUUUAUUGAUUAUUUUUUUGCUGGGUGUAAUGGCCUAAUACCGAUAUGGACUAUUUGGUUUACAACCCAUCCAAGCAGGUUUUUGACAGUUUUUAGAAGUUCUAUGGUUCAUAACGAAAAUUAAUCUCUCUUUUGGUUUGAUUUGCAUUCUUGUUCUUGUAUGAUCUUAUUGUGUUAAAAAAAUUUUAGCUUCAUGGGCACAGGCUUAAUUAUGCUUUGAACAAAUACUUUUAAGGUCAUAUAUGUCACUGAUAUACAGUUAUUUACAAACAAAUAAAUGAAUUGCACAUGGAUGGGUUAGAACUUAGAAUGUGGCAUUGGCUUGCUGUGAAACGGAAAAAUAUUUACACAAAUAUAAAAAAUGAUUAUGACAAGAGAAGCAGCUGGACUACUUGGGCCAGCACGAGCUAGCGUGAAUGAGCAGGCGGAAGGAAAUUAUUAUAUAUAAUAAAAAAUAAAAAAAGUUAUGAUGAGGAAAAUAUGACAAAUAAAUAUGAAAAAUAUUAUGUUCGGUAUGUUUGGGGAAUUAGUCAAGUAUAAUUACAUCCUUUCGCAUAAUUAGAGUCCUAGACGUACCUACUAUGUUUAGGAUAUCAAAUAUGUACCUGUUACUGUCAUGAGCUACAAAACCUAUUAUUGUUGUCAUAAUUGAUGUUUUCGCUGCAAAGAAAACUGGUAAGAAAAAGUAGAAGAAAAACUAAUAUGUUUCUUUGGACUGACCAUGUUCCUCGUCUCUAUAUGCAGGUUGGCACCUUGACAAGGUUGUUGGGUAUUCUUAACAUCAUUAUCAAAAGUAGACUAAGUUGUCUAAAUCUAGUAACGGUGCAAAAAAUGUCAAACCUAUCCCUCACACCACUUAAGCCAAGUUGUCAUCCCCAGCAUGAUAUAAGAGACGCGGUAUUGAAAUAUGCAAUUGCUCUUUUAAAUAAAUAAUGAAUGGGAUCUGUAAGCGCACAGAUUAAUACCGAUGUAGCAUUUUAACCGGGAAGUAUUCCAGGUAUCGUUAUUUAUAUUUUUACCACUGGGAAGGGAUUAACAAUCAUCAAUAUUGAUUACAGAAUAAAAUAUGAGAUUGAGUAUCUAUCAUUGCAUGUAUAAUUGAGAACAUUAUAUCUAACUCUUCAUACAGGGAUAAGUGUCACAUAAUGGAUAUAUGAAGUAAUGAAUAGUGACAAAGAUAAUUAGUCUGAUCUAGCCACAUAAUAAAUAUGAUAAGCACCUCAAUUAGAUACUCUAGAAAGUCAUUAGCAUGGAAUUAGAACGAACUACAAGAAUAUUUCAUAAGUUAUUCUCAACUAUAUAGUCUAGCAUUGUCAUAAUUAGUGCAAGCAUACUUAGCAAUCAUUGUGAGACAAGACUACGCCCAUGCAUAGUGAUAUUAGCAAGGUAAAUGAGAAACAUAGCAAUCACUCCCCUGUAAUAAUAUUGCUCUGCCAGCCCAAUACACGAGAGGGGGACUAUAUAAGAAUCAAUGAAGCUGUCACUAUCACGAACCACCCCACGAUCUGGCAUAUUGAGUACAAUCGCAGAUAAAUACGGUAUAAGCACCACGCCUACACAAUAUCUAUCAUUUACCCAUGGAUCCGAUGGAUAAACGCUAUACGAUCCUAAGCAUGUAUAUAGAUCCAAUCUAACUAAGCCAAGUACAUAACUAUGAUAAACUAAGAACAAUAUAAUCUUGAAUAUAAGCAGGUAGAGCAAAGUCAUAAGCAAUAUAUUGAAGUAGAACAAAGUCAUAUUCAUAAUAUUGAAGAAUAAAGAUAAUUAGAAAGCAAUUAGAAGCACAAUUAGAGAAUUACCAAGAAUCCUUUAGGUCGGUGGAGAUCUCCCGAGAGACAGAGUCCUGAUUGGACUCCAACAGAGGGCGGGCGCCCAGGGAAACAGGGCGGGCGCCCUGCCUCUGGCCCCUCUCGGCCUCCACUUUCUUCCCGUGGCUUCUGGAGUCUUCUAGAUGUAAGAUAAUUGCGCGGCACGUUAAUUUCUCUAUGUAAUCCCGGCGUGUGGGCCUUUCUUCCGUAUUUCCUGAUAACCCCCUGCAGAAAUAGACAAACACCAAAACUUGUGGAAUUCUGUCAGAUAAAACCCUAAGUCUAGAUGUUGAUUUCAUUUGGAUCCUUUUCUUUAUUUAUUUGAUAAUUAAAUUUGAUACUUAAGGACCGUCAACAAAGGUGUACAAGCAGAAUCCGACAAUUAGAUAUUAUUAAGUCUAAAUGGAUACCUGAGCUUGGUGUGAUUUAUUUUCUAAUAUCUAGGGCUUAUAUUCCAGUUCUUCAGGAUUGAUUUAUUUGAGGUUUGGUCAGACAACAUGAUGUAAACACAAGCAUUGCAGUUAUUCAUAUAAAGAACACUACAGCUAUGUAGGAUUCGAUGCCCUUUUCUUGACUUGGUAGAUCAAAUUUUUUUUUGAGCAUUACCAUUGUGGAAGGCCUAAGGGCUAGGAAAACAUGAACAGGUCCACAUCAGCCAAGCUUCUCAAGGUUCCAAGACUAUCAUGGUUUUUCUUUCUUUUUUUUUGGUUGACCUGGAGCAUUUAGAUUUUAUGGAAAAUUGAUUGAUAUGCUUAAUAUUGAUCCAAUUCAAUGGUGAUUAUGUCUUAUAGAAUUCAACUAUUAUUACCCGUAGCAACGCACGGGCACUCAACUAGUACUACUGUACAAAAGACAAAAGGUUGGUGUGGACCGUAGAGUCAAUAGAUAGUCUCACAUGUUUCACGAUUAUAUCUCUUUUUUUAACCUACGAUUAUGUCUCUUGCAACAAUAAAGCUGUGUUUUUUUUGCCGGCCCAAACUACUGCUAUCUAACUUAUAUUGCGGGCUUCCUAUAUUGCGAGAGGCACGCUAAAGAUUGUGGCCCGUGGCCUGUUAUUACUCUCUACAAUGGCCAAGUUGAAGGGCGCAGACUACAUGGGACACAUCGUCCCAAAAUUCUUAGCCAUUGGAUUCUUCGAUCAACGCUCCAAAUUCACUCCACCUACUGCUACAGUGUGCAGUUAAAAAUAUCUCUUGGGUCACGUGUCCACUUGUACCCUGUUUGUGUUUUCUUUCUCAAUUAUUUGUGCUGCCCGCUGUGUACUCUGUUCUAGAUAAUAAAAGGGAGAAAAAAGAGGGGCCUUUUAUAUUUUCUUCUAUCAUCUCGGUGGUCAAGCGAAGUACCAACAGAAAACAAAAAAAAACUGCCACCGCUUAUUUUCCCCAUGAUUUCUCAUCUCUCUUGAAGUCAUCUGAAAUGUUUCAUUGGCACACGCAUCUUAUUUAUUUUUUUAUCAAACAAUAAAAUAAAUAAAUCAUUAUAAAAAUAUAUCUAACAACAAAAUAAGUCAUAAAUAAAAAAUAAUAUUUAUUAUAUUUUUGAAUAAGACGGACGGUCAAACAUGAAUCAUAGAAGUCAAAGAAACGCAAUUAUUUGUGGGAUGCAGGUUAACCCCUCAAACUAUUUAGGGUGCAAUACUUCAUCCCUAAACUAUAAACCGGAUAUUCUACACCCUGAACUUUUAAAACCGGUUAAAUAACCCGUGAUUUUAGAGGGUGGUUUUGUCUUUUAUUUAUUUAUUUCCACUGAAUAUUUUAAAAAUUGUAAUAAAUCACAAAAAAAAUAUAAAAUAAAAAAUUCAAUUUUGUUGGGGUCCUGAUGAGUAGAUCUACGGAAUGAAUAUAUAAUAUGAUAUACUUUAGGCGUUGUUUAGAUCUAAAAUUUUUUGGGAUUCUAACACUGUAGCACUUUCGUUUUUAUUUGACAAACAUUGUCCAAUUAUAGAGUAACUAGGUUUAAAAGACUCGUCUCACGAUUUACAGGCAAACUGUACAAUUAGUUUUUGUUUUCAUCUAUAUUUAAUGCUCCAUGCAUGUGCCGCAACAUUCGAUGUGACAGAGAAUCUUGAAAAGUUUUUUGUUUUGGGGGUCAACUAAACAAGGCUUUAGUACAAAGUUUUUGUUGUAGCUUUAAAUCUAUGUUUUUCUAUAAUUAAUAAGAACAAAUCAUAUAUGUACUUUAUAUUGUUUAUUUGUGGUAAAAUUUUUAUAGUGGGCUCAUUAUUAUAUGUUUGAAUAAAGGUAAAAGUUUCGUACUCAUUGGAUUAGGUAUAACAUUUAUUUAGCUUUAUUCUUGUUAAAUCUAUACUUUCUUCUUCUAAACUAUCCACCAAUACUCAAAGCCUACAUGUAAGAGACACGUAUUACAAACUCCCUAACCCAGUCAUAAAAAAAGUAAGAUCAUACAUCUAGAUUUCCUAAAUAGUUUCAUAUUUUCUUAAAUAUAGAAAGAUUUUCGCCGGUGCGGAACUCAAGCGAACAUGAAUUUAGCUGCGAAUCCGACCGCAACAUGAACUACUGAUCAUCCUUCUAUGCAGCUUGAAAAGAAACACAAAAUAAACGCUAUGUUUUUAGCCAACCGAAGACCGCUUUUACCUUAUGCCAUAUCAUCGCAGGUGUACAAUACUUUUGUAACAUAUGCCUUGUUUAGUUCCAAUUUUUUUUGCAAAAUAUGAACAAUAGCACUUUCGUUUGUAUUUGACAACUAUUGUCCAAUCAUGGACUAACUAGAUUCAAAAGAUUCUUCUCGCAAAUUACAGAUAAAUUGUGUAAUUAGUUAUUUCUUUUAUCUAUAUUUAGUGUUUCGUGCAUGUGCCGCAAGAUUAAAUGUGAUGGGAAUGCGAAAAAUUUUGCAAAAUAUUUUAGGAACUAAACAAGGCCAUACUAUCCUUCCAUGUACCGGUUGACAAACUCGAUGAUUGUUAAUAAGCAUGACUAUGAUAUUUAAUAUUUUCAACAUAUAUCAUUAUUUAUUUUUAGUAUUGCUCAAAGCACCGUUGUAUCAUUUGCUCUUGCGCGCCGGGGCGCGCACAAUCCACUAGUUACUCAUCAUCCUCAUCCCGGUCUGCUCCCGGCCAAUGGCCAAGAUAUUUUGCAGGCAAAAGCGUCUCUUCUCGGGUCUCCAUCGAAUAAAUGGAUACGUUUCUUUGUGAGGGUUUAGUUCUGAAAUUUUUCUAGUUUGGUUACUAUAAUAUUUUUGUUUGUAUUUGAUAACUAUUAUUCAACUCUGAACUAACUAAUUUUAAAAAAAUUAUCUCAUAAAUUAUAACUAAACUAUAUCAUUAAUUAUCUUUUAUCAUGUUCUAUACAUACAUUAAAAAAUUUAAUAUAACAAUAAAUCUUAAGAAUUUUUGAACUAAACCAGUCCAUUUAUGUGCGCACAUGGGGGCCGCACAUGCCGACCAGCAGCCCUCGCAACUUGGAGCAGCAAGUUGCAUCCAAUUCAGACGGGAGCACGGAGCAGCAGCCACUGUCUCACGCGCGCUAUUUGAGCAGACCUGACGGCCGAUUACUAGCCACAGAACAGAACAGGUUCCGUCCGCUCGCCAUGGAUUAUUAUUACCCAAUGGAAAUGGAGGAGCAUCCAGGAUUCUUCCGGCCGGCGCAGCUGCCAUGGCAGUGGCAGUGGCAGUGGCAGUGGCGCCUCUUCUCCCUCCUCUCGUCCCAGCCGCCGGAGCUGCUCCCGCCGCGGCGCCCCCCGGCCAACCAUGUCCGCUGGGAGGAGACCGCCGCCGCGCACCUCUUCUCCGCAAGCCUCCCUGGUAACCCCCACUCGAUCCCUGACAGACUCGCGCGUGCUGCUCGCCGUCGUCGGUCGGUGCAGCCACCACCCACCAGCCAGCCAGCUGAGCUGAGCUGAGCCGAGCAACUAGCAAGGUCGCCUUCUUCUUCGGUUUGGCGUUGACGCUCGCUCUGUCUCUGUGUGUCCCCGUCAGGCGUGCGCAAGGAGGAGAUUCGGGUGGAGGUGGAGGACGCCAGGUACCUCGUCAUCCGCACCGAGCUGGACGACGACGACGACGCGGGCGCGAGGAGCUUCGGCCGGAAGUUCCGGCUGCCGGGGAUGGUGGACGUGGACGGCAUCGCGGCGGCGUACGCCCACGGCGUGCUGACCGUGACGGUCCCGCGGAUGCACACCCGGGCCAGGCCUGUUGCCGGCGUCCUCGGCGCCGGCCCGGCCCGCGACCACGCGGCCCGGGCGGCCUGAUUCGUGAUUUAUGGGGCCUUGUUGUAGCAUGUACACGUGAUGAUUUGGUUCAUCCAAUUGCAAUGCAACUCAUUUGCUUGUUAAAUUAAAAAAUAAAUAAAUAAUCUUAUGUGUCAUGGAUCAUGGUGCGCUACCUUCACUGAGCCCUCCUAAUCAAUUAUUUUAUUCCCUCUUUUAUCACCGAUGCACGCGGAGCCGCACAAAGAUAUCGGUCUUAGGCCUUGUUUAGUUGCGACAAAUUUUGGAAAAUUGAUAAUGUAGCACUUUCGUAAUUCGUUUCGUAAAUUCCGACCAAAUUGUGUAAUUAGUUUUUAUUUUCGUCUAUAUUUAAUACUCCAUGUAUGCGUUUAAAGAUUCGAUGUGACGAGAAAUAUGAAAAAAUUUGCAAAAUUACAAGGCCUUAUCUCCUCCCGUCGUUCUAGCUCAGGCCUUAUUCCGACCGCGGACGUGCAUCCGCUUGCUCCCCAGCCGCGCGCGUCGCCCUGCCCCUGCAUCUCGCCACCCGUGUAGCCGCCUCCGCCUCCCCGCCUCGCGCCUCGUGGCUGUGCGGCCGUAACCUUGCCCAAGCCUUCGCAACUCCCCGCCUGCACCGCCCCCACCUUGGGCUGUCGUCCGCGUGCACGAGAAGGGUGUUUCGAGGAGGGCCCACACACACAGAACCUUGUUUAGAUUUUUUUUGAAUUUUAAUAUUUUCGUUUUUAUUUAACAAACAUUGUUGAAUUAUAGAGUAAUUAGAGCUUUGUUUAGUUCCGAAAAUAUUCUUAAAUUUCGGUACUGUAGCGUUUUCGUUUUUAUUUGACAAAUAUUAUCCAAUCAUAAACUAACUAGACUUAAAAAAUUCAUCUCGUGAUUUAUAGGCAAACUGUGUAAUUAAUUUUGUUUUUUAUAUAUUUAAUGUUAUCCACAAGAUUCGAUAUAACGUAGAAUCUUAAAAAAAAUUUGGUUUUUGGGAUGAACUAAACAAGGCCUAUGCUUAAAAGAUUUGUCUCGUGAUUUUCAACUAAAUUAUACAAUUAGCUUUUUUUUAUUUAUAUUUAAUGUUUUAUACAUGUGCCACAAGAUUUGAUGUGACGGAAAAUCUUAAAAAGUUUUUUGAGGUGAACUAGACAACCCCCCAGAAGCUUCUGAUGAGUUUGGAAUUGGAAUGAGAUGGGAAUAGUGAUAGAAAUAAAAAAAUAUUAUAUUUAGUCAUUCAUUCUUUACAUCUUUAUUAGGUUUUUUUUUGCACGGCUCCACUUCGCUAGCGAAGGUGUUUUUUUAGACUUUAGCUCCAUGAAUAGCUCUAUCGGUGGAGCUAGAGCUAUUUUGAUAUUUUUUUUUAGCAAAAUAGCUCUUUCCAUAAAAUGCGCUCUCACGGAACGUCAUGUAAGAUGAGGUAAAGCUGAAAGAAGCUAUUAUUUUUGGCUCCGCACGCCAAAGUUUUGUAAAAGCAUAUUUUUAGAGGUUUUAUUGGUGGACCUAUUUUAUUUUAUUCUAUUUUACAUAAAACAGUUCCAAAAAGCUCUUGAAACCGUGAAUAAACCUGCCAAACACGGCUUUAAUAUUAAUAAUUUAUAUUAAUUUCCUUCUUCGCAGUCUCACCCCUUAAGCCCUUGUUUAGGCCUUGUUUAGUUAGCAAAAAUUUGGGUUUUUGGCUAUUAUAGCACUUUCGUUUUUAUUUAACAAACAUUGUCCAAUCAUGGAGUAACUAGGCUCAAAAGAUUCAUCUCAUAAAUUACAGAUAAACUGUGCAAUUAGUUUUUAUUUUCAUCUAUAUUUAAAGCUCCAUGCAUGCGACCAAAGAUUCGAUGUGACGGGGAAUCUUGAAAUUUUUUGGGAACUAAACAAGGCCUUAGUUCCCUUAAAAACUCAUUUUUUUUUAAGAUUCUCCGUCACAUCGAAUUUUACGGUGCAUGUAUGGAGUAUUAAAUAUAGAUAAAAAAAACUACUCCCUCCGUCCACGAAAGAGUCAAUUUCUAGAGUUGUCCUAAGUCAAACUUUUUAAACUUUGACCAAAUUUCUAGAAAAAAAUGCUAAGAUUUAUAAUAUCAAAUUAGUAUUAUUAGAUUCAUCAUAGAAUAUAUUUUCAUAUAAUGUGCAUUUUAUAUUAUAGAUGUUGUUACUCUUUUUUCUAUAAAGUUAGUCAAACUUUAAAAAAUUUGACUGGCACAGAUUCUAGAAAUUGAUUCUUUCGUGGACGGAGGGAGUAAUUGUACAAUUUGCCUGUAAAUCGCAGAAUGAAUCUUUUAAGCCUAAUUAUUCUAUGACUGGACAAUAUUUGUUAAAUAAAAACAAAACUGCUACAGUAUUUCAGGCCAAAAAAUUUUUAGAACUAAACACGGCCAUCCCAAUAUAUCAAACGGGGCCUACUUCUCCUUCCAAAUUGCACAAAGGCCCCUCUCUGAAACCCGAAUCCCGCAAAUCCAAAUCGAGCGGGAGAACCCCGAAAUCCAAAAUUCCCCAAACCCCCUUCUAACCCUAGCCGGCUAGCCCCCUCUUCCCAUUCACACCUCCGAUUCCUCGCGCCCUCGUCUGAGUCGUCUCCCGCCCAAUUUCCAGAAGCUUCUGGAACCGGGUUUCUAGCCCUAAUCCCGCAAAAGGAUGCUUUCUUGCGCCUAGUAGCCUGGGACGGAGGCAUGGACAGCGGCGGCGGGGAGGUUGGCUCGACCGGCGGGAGGUUCCCCAUUCUGCAGGCGAACAGGGACCCCGAGUCGAAUUGGGAGCUGGAUGUUGCCAAGAGCCUCGAGGAGUACCUGCUCAAGAUCUGCUCAGGGGAGGUCUCCGGCGAGGACGGGGCCCACUCCGUCAACUUUGCCGAAGGUACGUUGGUGCGGAGGGCCGGGGUUUCUUGCGGUCAACGUGCGGCACUUCUUUACAGCGGGUGUGCUAUCUGUAGGGGUCUGGAGAGCUGAGAAUUGGGUGUGUGAGGUUAGAAAUUUUGACACUUUGGGUGGAUUGACUAUGGAUGGAGGCUGGUUGUGGACUUGAUUUUGGGUGGUGUUAUUUCCUUUGCCUGAAUAAAUGUUAAAGGAAGUAGCUUCUUUCUAGUUGUUUAGCUCACCCAAGGUUUGGCCUUUCUAAGGACAAUUUAAUAUGAGCGUUGCAUCAGAAUGAAGUUCUUUUCUGUUUUCAAGUCAGCAGUUGCCCUGUUAAUUUGUGUUUUCUUAUCUGCAGCGGCGUUAUUACUCCAAGGAUCGGUUCAAGUGUACAGUAGGAAGGUGGAAUACUUGUACUCAUUGGUGCUUCACGUGUUAGAGUUCCUCUCGCAAAAGAAGUAAGGAAAGAUUGAUGCUGCUUUCAGAUUUAUCCGUUAUGUACUAAUUGCUUCCCUGGACACUGUAUGUAAUAUUUACCUGUCGAAUGUGGGCCUGAAACCGACAGAGUGACAAAUGCAUUAUACAUUUUUGCGCAUCUUAAAUGAGUAGGCUUUAAAAAUGUCACGUGGCAGACAAACAUUUGCUGCUUGGUUCGGAAACCAUAAAGUUUCAAAAUAAGGCAUCUGUAUCCCCCUUAUAGGAACCUCGAUGAAGUAUGCCUAUUUCAGAUGAUCUCCGCAUUGGCACCUUUCAUUCUUCCUCUUGGCACUCCAUCGUGCCGGACAUUUUAUUAUCUUAAACUCUAUAUGUAGCUCCCAAGCAUUAAGCUCAAUUAGAUGGCCCAAAUCCAUGUUCACUUGGUUAGAUUUACUCUGUGCUCAAAGGGAUCAAUGCCAACAUAUUUCUAAACGAAGGCCUUUCUAUACUUUGGAAGAUAGUUAUCUAAUCAUGGUACUAAGGCAUCACCUAGGUGCAGGGGUGGAGCUACAGCUUGCCCUCGGGGUCAGCCGACCCCGACGAAGUUUGGAAAUUCCGAUGGAAUAUUACUUUUUUUUUUUCCGAAUCGAGGACAUCCCCAUUUCCAUUCACAGAACGGAAAUACAAGCGUUUGUGAGAGUUUUAAGAAGAAAAGAGAGAACACAGAGUUGCGCUUAACCUCCAGCGCAAGAGGGACCUACCCAGACACCAGACUGCGCUUGACCUCCAGCGCAAGAGGAAACUAGCAGAAAAAAACAUAAAAGGCAGACUUGCUUCAGCGACUAUGACUUUCCUAGUCAGAACUUGCAACCAGAUAGACUAACAUCAAAACCCGAUGGAAUAUUACUUGCCAUUGGUCAGCCGACCCCGACGAAUUUUUGGAAAUUCCAAUGGAAUAUUACUGUGUGUAGAGCUAAUAGUUCCUAAUGGCCAUGCCAUUGUCAGACAAGACCCUCAUGGUCAUCUGGCCCAGAUUCACCCCUGCCUAGGUGUUGCUUUUGGCAUAUAUGGUGGUCGGCAGUAACUUCCAUAGUUGACGCUUUGCCUAAUGGUUGCAUGGAGAGAAGGGGAGGAGAUGAACACAUCUAUGUUAUUGCAAUUUGGGCCUCCUUGCAAUGCCAAUUGCCAUCCUCUGGGGCUGAAGACUCAUGUGGAUGGAAGGAGAGAAAAGAGAUGAGAUGGAGAGAAGCAAAGACGCAAUGGUAAACAGGUGAGGCCGAUGAUUCCUAUCAUGGCUCACCUGUAGCUAAAUUGCCAGUGUUUUAUGCGGGCCUUAUAAAUCCUGUCCUUUUACCUUUUUUUUUUCUUUUUUUAUCUGAGCCAACCUUGCCGCUUCCACAAUACCAAUGACUCCAUUGCCUCCUCCUUUGUUUCACCAUUGCUGCUACUACUCUUAAUAUCACUGGAAGCAUGUCCUCCUUUACUGCCUUGAACCCUGUUGCACCUCCAUUCUAGAGAGGAGGGUGCACAUUGCCUCAUGUACACCUUAGGUGCCUAGGUGUCAAGGUAGUUGGCAGGUAUGCCAUCUUGCCUUACUGCUUGAUUACUUCAAUCCUACAUUGGAACACUCUUUAAGUAGUGGGAAAAAUGCUGCAAUAGUCUGAUAAACAUCUUGCAACUCUCAGCUUAUAGCACUGCUGGGAGAAAAGAAUUCUGAUUCAUCAAGUUGUCAUUGUCUGUACAAGGGUGGUUCUUAUGAUUGUCUAGAUCAGCGUGAUACCUUGGGUGUUCAGCAUUUAAAUGAUAUUUUGAGGAUUUCUCUAAUACUAUCACAUGCUAAUCUUUUCUUAUUAUUAGCUACAAUAGUCUAAAUCAUUAUAACUAUACCAGGCAGGAUCAACUGGAAAAUGGCUUGGUUCAAGCUAAUCAAAACGACCCUAGCAUGAUUCCCAGUGAAGAAGAUGAUAUAUUUAUGGGGUUAGAUGAUGUCCCAGGUAAGUGGAUCCUUCACUGAAUGAGCUUACUUUGAAUGUCAUGGAGCUAAGAACAUUUGUCUAACCCUUUUUAAAUUUACCAGUGGAAACAAGGACAUCUCUGGAUAACAAUGUCAAUCGAGAUGAUUUACAAAGAAAAAAUGUGAGGCCACCAGCAAAUCUACUGGUGUUUGAAGGGGACUGUCUGGAUAGUGAAGCGAGUGAGCUAGACACAUAUUUGGUAAACUUUCUAUCCCUUUUAUUUCAACUGCAAAACUGACCACUUUUUACUUCCAUACUGAAAUACUCAUAGUUAUAUAUGUAUUGCAGUUAGCAACAUGUGAUUUUUAUGGAGAUUUCCUUCUGCUGGAUCCUUGUGAUGCACCAGCUAUUUUUGACUUUCUGCAAGGAAAACAUUCUGGUAAAGAAAAUAGUGUGGCUCAUCCAGGCAGUUCAGCACCUUCUAAAAGCCGAGCCAAUGUUUUCAGUUCCCCAAAUUUAAGAUCAGCGGGCACAGGUCGUAAAUCGGCCGCUGGAAAAGUCCUAGGAGGUCUAGAUCCAACCCAGGAGAAUCCGGACCAAUCAACUCAAGGAACCAGUCCGGAUAACAACCAUUGGUCUGAUCCUGUCGAACCUAGCUUUGCUGAUGAUGUUGAAAUGCCUAACCCAGAUUAUAUAGAGGAUCCUGUUGGAGAUUAUUCUGAUGACGAGGAUCCAUGGAAACCUUUGAAUCCACAUGAACCUGGCAACCUAAAGAUCCGGCCUUACAGGAGAGGUACAGGAAGCUGUUGUUUAUGGAUAUCUCUCUUUCGUUUAGUGCCUUGUAAAGCUAUUUUGAUGACCUAUGUAUUGAUCUGUCUUUACUGAUCUGUUUUGGAGCAGUGAAAGGUUCUCCACGGGGGGUUAUUGGCACUCAGAAAAAGAAAACUCUCACAUUUCUAUUUCCUAUGGCAAAGAUGGAUGGCGUCGUCAUACCUGAACAUGCUAAAUCUUUUGAAGCACAGCAGUGUCAGCAGGAGGAACAUUAUGAAAAGGUACUCAGUGUCCAUGUAAAUUAGGCAUGUCUAAUCUUUUGAUUUGACUUAUUUAAUUUAUAUCUUUUUGGUGAAAUAGAAAUUAUUUAAUUUUUUAACCAUCCAACAUGCAGUUUUUGAGAUCAUUUGAAUUUGGAGAAGAAAAUCCCAAUGUGUUUGGAGAUUUGAAAGAUGACAAUGGAUCAAAUACUGGCAUUAAUUUUGAUGAUGAUGAUCCAGACAUGCCAAACGACAUAGAUGUUGAUCCUGAUGUUCCAGCAUAUCCUGACGAGGUUUAUUUUAUUGACAUUUUUGUUUGUUGGUUGCUGUGUUAAGCUAUCCAACAUUUGGGUAAUAUUACAUUUUUAUUUUUCGUCUGUUCAGCCUAUUGCUGCAACUCCCAAUGGUACACAGGAUGACAUAGAUACACAUGCAAGCCUUGACGACUUGUGUCGGUCACAUCUGGUGAGUUUUUUAAUGGUUCUAUAGUCCAUUUACAUCUAUGUCUUGUGCGGUUACAAGCAUCUUGGUGCCCUGUAAGUCAAUAUGUUAGCUAAAUGUAUGUUAGGAGUAAGCAUGUCAAAACAUGUUAGGAUAAAGCUUACUAUAAUAGAUUAUUGCUGCAGUGGACAAAAUUACCUGUAGGAUUAGUUGCAAUAUCUUCCGUCUUCCCAGGUCCCAACAAUUCUGAUCUUGAAUCUUUGUCAUGUGUUGGGUUUUACAGACAAGUUUCUGGAAUAAAGUGUCAUGAGGAACUGACUGCGAUUAGUAAAUUCCAAUAUCAGAUGUGGAGUUAGAUUCUUAGUAGUAGGUCACUUUUUAUUUUCUUUAGCGUAACAAGCUCUUUUGAUUUUGGUGCCGCCUAAGCCCUUUUCUGGCUUGGACAUGUGUGUGAUCGCACUUUCUAUCCCACUUAAUGAAACAUAUACAUGUUCAGGCGCGUUUGUGAAAAAAACACCUAAUGUCUUAAUUGUUGGUACUCACUCACAACUGACAGAUAGAGGUAGAAGAACACUGAGAACAGAGCACACACAGCACCAGCACAAGUCUGAAUGUGCAGCAACUGAACUGCUUUAUUAAUGGCAUGAUGUUAAAGCGAAGCUCUACUAACUUAGCUAUAUUACACAUCCACCCACACACAUAAAAUCUCCAAAACAUACCUGGAGGUGAUGCUUCAAAGCUUUUAUAUGAUUGGAAACUUCAUUUUGCCUGCUGAUUUCUAGAAUCCAAAUUGCAAUUGAGAACUUUAAUUUUUAGCUGCGUCCUGGAUUUGCCUUUGCUCUUCAACUUCCAAAACUGACAGAUAAUUCUUCAUACAGAAUGCUCUCCUUGCCAGCAUCGCUGAGGUUGAAAAGCAGAGUGAGAUGGAUGCUCGAGUUUCAACAUGGAAAGAAAGAAUUGAGGAUGCCUUGGAAGAGCAGGUUUGUUGCUGGCUUGAACUGCUUAGGGCGUCCGCAAUGGUAUUCAAUUGCUAGCUAUUUGAUCUCUAGGAAGAAUGUUGUUGGCUCUCAAUGACAAUUUGCAAAUAGCUAGCUUAGAAAGUCACUAGCUAUUAGGAAGUUACUAGCUAUUGUGGAGAGUAUUGUGAGAGUUAUUUCUAGAAGAUCGUGCUAGAUUAGCUAUUUAUGAGUCGCUAGCUAUUAGGAAGUCGCUAGCUAUUUGAUCUCUCUCCUCGAUAGCCAAUGAGAGUGCUACUUUUUUAUUAUUUUUAUACAUCAUCUCGCUAGCUAUUUCUAAAGUGCUAUUGAGAGCCAAUAGAAUUCCUUCUAGCUAGCUAUUUGAUAACCAUUGCGGAUGACCUUACAAUUUUGCAUCUAUGAACUUGUUUAGCGCUCACCCCAAUAUCCAUCUCUUGUCAGGAUAAAAACCCACCUUUUGAUAUCGGUUCAUAUGGGGAGCAAAUUCUUGACACACUUUCAUCUAGAACUGACAAUACAGGAACUGCAUCUUUUAGUGAGAUUGUUAGCGGCAGACCAAAGUAUGAGGUUGCCAGAACAUUCUCUGCCCUUCUCCAGCUGGUAAACUUCCCUUUUCUCCCAGUUUCAUAAUCUGGUCGUCUGGUGCAACCCCAAGCAUUUCUUAGCCAUGUGAAUGUUACAGGUGAAUGGCAGAAGUGUUGAUCUGGACAAAGGACAAGCCACAAAUGAGUUGGUGUGUUACACAGCAGAGAAUCCAUUCCAUGUAAGGCUCAUUGGUCCCAACCGGAGGCCAGAAAUGGAGGCACGCUUUGCUCGGAAGAGAGUCAAGUCGCCACUGCAAAAUACAGGCAAAAGCGGUGGGUCCUCCCUGGCACAGCAUGAGUGCUCCAAGAAGCCGUUGCAUAAAAAUGGCAAGAUUCCAGUCAAGACAGCGAUCAGGCUUACUCCAGAUGGGAAGCGAAGGCGAAGGUCAGCCACUCACCUAAUGCAGCCGAUCAAUCUGGAAUACAGCGGAUGAACGCCAAUGGCAGACUGACUCAUGGGCAUCUAGAGUCUGAUUCUUCUAAUUGUUGUGACUUCAGUGGCGGCUUCAUAGGCAGGACGAGCUGUGACCUGUAAGUUAUGACAUAGGCGUAGCUAGCAGGUGUACAUGUACAAUAGUUCAUUGUGCUGUUUUGUAUGUAUAUUGGUAUCAGCUCUCAAGUGUAAUGCUAACAGGGCAAGAAUUGUUGGACGGACUUGCCCUUUCAUAGCGGUACAGACAUCGAUAGAUUCAUUUCUAUUUCUAAUUCAAUAAACUAGCACUAUGCCGAGUCUAUUUUAUGCCAGUUGCUGGUGCUUUUAUACUGUUGUUAAAACUGCAUGAUUCAACCACUGGUACCUGGCUACAAUGGAUGCCCUCCCUCUGCAAUUUCAGAUUUAUGUUAUUCUAAAAAAUCUAUGCAAAAUCUACUUUUUUUAAAAAAAAAAUCCAUCUGUAUCCCUAAUCAUCUGUCGUCUAAAGCAGCCAUGAAAUGGCAACCAGAAAGACACAGAACACGAAUAAACAAUUUCUCUCAUGCACAUUCAGGGGUGUUUUGUUUGCACUCGUUUUUUUGUUUGGUAUGUGAAACUCAUAAAUACUAAACACAUCAAAAGCUGAAGCUGAAACUCAUAAAUACUAAACACAUCAAAAGCUGAAGCUGAGGACGACUCAGUGACAAAUGGACUUCACUCUUUAAGUCUUUUUUUUUAACAUCACUCUUUAAGUCUUAACCAAGACAUCAAGCCGAUGAUUCUCACACCUGCGAUACAAAAUAAUCACAAAACAAAACCAUCCUGGCUACCUAGAAAGAUUUUCGACAGUUGCACCGUAGUCACCUCCAGUUACAUGAAAACCUUCUACGACCAAAUGAUUGUACAACAAAACGUCAGAUUAGCCUUUCAGCUAGCUAUACUGCCGACGCGUUAAGUACUAGUGAGUGAGGAGAUGAUAGAGAGUGGUGGCCUCCCGAAGCCGCCGCAGGUUGUUCGCCUUCGCAGCUCCGGUGCGUCCAUUCCUUGCAGAAACAAGAGCCCGUUCAGCGGAUCAGACAUCGGCAAGGGCAAUUAUGAUUCGAAAAAAAAAACCCAACAACCUAGCAUCAACGGAAGGUUACGAACUGAUGCAUUGCAUUACCUCUUGUCGAGCUCCACCUUCUUUUCCAGGUCUUGCACCAGAUUGUGCAGCCUUUUGAUGUGGUGACUCAGCGCUUGGACUGUUUCAUGGCCUUCCUUGGAUUCACAUAGGCUUUUUAGAAUAUCAGACGCGAUGAAGAACACGUCUGCUUUGUUCCUAAGCACAUCCAUCCCACCAUAUAAGAAUGGCAUGCCCCAAAACACAGCUUAUAAUACAGACAAGUAUAUGAUGCUCACAAACCAACAAACUCUAAGCUGUAUCCAUUCUUAAUCUAGUAUAUGCUCAAGAUCUAGAAGAACAGAGCUUUGGAGGGAGGCACUAACUACAGCUAAGCCUCUGUUGAGAGAAAAAACACCAAGCAGAUCAUAGUGAAUUAGUGACACGAAUAUGCAGCAAGAAACUAACCAGGCAACGUAAAUACAGCAUGUGAACUUGAGCAUUGCAUAAUGCAUACUACAUAUACAUACCUCAGUAAUUCCUGGAAGAUGAUUUUAGUAAAUUCUGGAGUGCUGGAUAACACCUGUCUAAGAUUUGCACAGCGAGCAAUGUUCCUGAGAGUAAGGAACACUUGCUUCAAGACUUCCUGGUCAGCAAUCCCACGGUUCAGCAAAUGGAUUUGCUUCAGCAAUAUAUCUACAGCACCAGCAGUGACUAGUGUCUCGCAGCAUUUCUUGGAAUACUCUGUAGCACUACCUGUAGGAGAAAGAACAUAUAACCUCUUAGCUCUUGAACAUAUAACUGGCAAGUUGAUGGCUAAACUGAGACAACUGGGAGUAUGAUAUCGCAAUCUUAUGCCCCAUGAAUAAUCUAGGUUGGAGGAAAAAAAUAGAAAAGGGAGCACAGGGCUGUAUUUACUCAAUGUUGCACAAGUUUGACGAAUGCUGUGUAUGCUCCGACAGUGAUGGAGUUGUGACAGUGCAGACACCAGUCUGUUGAUUAGGCGCAUACUAUCAUCAACUUGUGAAGAAGACUUCUGCAGUCUAGAUCUUAUCUGUGCAACUGCUUGCUUCGAGGCCUUCCUCACAAGGUAGGCUUUGACAUAGGACUGCGACAAUCAGUUAGAUAAAUGUCAAUGAGAAAAGUGAACUUAAUUACAAUUGUUUUUCUAUGAAUAGAAGGAUUUUUGCGUAAUGAAAUCAUGUUUCAUACAUUUGGUAUCUAAAUAGAUCCAUGAAUUUGAUUUCCAUAUAUCCAACUAACAAAAACACGCAUACAGUACCUGUAUUGUAGUAAUACUUUUUCUAGUUCUAGAAGCAACUUGCCGUGCUAUCCAACCACGGAAAUGAGCCUGGAUAACUAAAACAGCUUGCUUCCUCAAUUUAAUGAACAAAACCUUUCUCCACCAUCUCUGCAAACAAAUUUAUCAAGUAUGAAAUCAUUUAGUAAUCUGUGUAUAUCAAAUAAUAAGAAAAGAAAUUUGCAGAGAUCAGUCAUCGCCUCUUUGUGUACCUGUAUGUUACUAAUAGAGAUUCUAGUUCUGAUAGCAUCUUGUCGUGCAAUCCAACUACGGAAAUGAGUCUGGAUAACAAUUGCAGCUCGCUUCCUCGAGUGGAGAACCUUUCGCCACCAUCUCUGCAAAUAAAUGGACCAGAUUAAAGUAACUCUUUUGAUACUUAAAUUAUGGUACUACCCAGUCUACAAGCAUUUUGAAAAAAUAGCAUACAUACUUGAAUAAUGUUUAUGCAGCAGAAAGUUUGAUUUAGUUUUUUCCGUGCCAAACAGCCACGGACAAAAGACUGGAUUGAGAUCACAGAUGUUUUGACUGACUGAUGCAUCAGGAACUUCCUCCAGCACCUUUGUAGCCUUAUGACAGAAUCUAGCACAAUGUUCAACUCAAGGCUUUGAUAACAUUUUCUCUUUUGACUUUGGUCAACUACACAAAGUCUUGUGUAGGUUCGCAGUGAAGAAGAACCUAUAUAAGUAGCAUCAGUCAGUAAUACUUAGAUAAUGCAAUACAAAUCACAUCUUAGCAACUCUACAUCCAUAACACAAAUGCCAUAACAAAGGUCAAUAUGCAACAAAAAUAUAUCAAGGACAAUCUAAGAUGUACAAACUAACCUAACAGUCUCUUUCUAGCCAACCAUCCUCUGACAACUCUCUGAAUCAGUACUGCAGCGAGUCGGUGGCUUUGCAAAGCUUGGAGGCACAAGAAUACUCUUAUUGAUGUUUGGAUUCCUACAAUAGCCUGAACUUGCUUUGUGAAGCCCUUGCGUACUGAAUAGCAACGCCACUGGCUCUGGAUUUUAAUUGCAGCAGUUAUCCUGUUUCUAUUGUUCAAAUAUCUUCGGUAUGCAUUUUGUAUCCUUUGAGCAGCAACUAGUUCCUUGCAAACAGGGAAAUAAAUACAGGUAGAUACAGGCUUUAAGAAUUCCUGAGAAGAAAUAUUACUGCUGCACUCCAUGUCAUCCACACUCACAAGCAUACUGAUGGAAACUGCAUUGGAUGUCUCAACCACACAUGACUGACAAUUGCUCUCAAACAUAUCCAAUGGAGAUUUGGGAGGAGGUAUAGACUCAUGCCCACUUUUCCAUAGCUGAGUGGUAGAAGUUAUAGAGUUGCGUUGACUGCCGCUAAGCUGCAGUGGAGUUGUUGAGUCUAGACUAUCCAUGCCAUCAAAACAUAGAAUAUGAGGAGCAACAGAAGCUCUCAAUGUAUCCUCAUCCUCACAGUGCUCCACUGCAGAAAGAAGAUAAGACAAAUUUCACUAGAUUGCGGAAAACUGUUAUACUACCAUCAUAAUAUGGUGGAAUUCACAAAAUCAUAUUAUGUACAGUUAUGGUUAUGGAGAAUAACAUUUGACAAUAAUAUUACCAAAUUUCAUUUCAGCAGAAGAAACUUACAAACUAAAGAAUAGUUAAAGAACAAACCCUGGUUGGUGCAUGCACCAUCUUUUUCAUCUGUCUGAGAGGGAUGAUACUUCGUAUCAAUCUUUCCUCGAGAUCUACGCCUUGCUGAAACCUUAGUCUCCGCACACUUAUAGUCCAACCUCAUGUUGAUUAAAUUCUUUAGAUGGCCCUAUAUGAAUUAAAGAAGAUGUUUUAUGCAUCCUGAACAGGACUUUAACACAAGGAGGGAAAAUUUGAAAGUGACAGCAACUAUUACCAAUCUUUCGUCAUUAGUCAGAUGUGAAGAUAGGAACGCUAGCAAAAGAAUGGUACUCUUCUCAUCAAAUAAUACACCAUCAGCUAAGAUGUCACUUGCUGGAAUAUCCUGCACAUUGCAGAAAAAGGUCUGAGAAAGAAACUACUGAUUUUGCAAAAAAAAAAAAAAAAAAAAAAAAAAAAAAAAAAAAAAAAACCACUUACCACCACAUGAAGAACAUCGGUGAGUAUUUUCCCCAUCUUGCUGGAUGGACAGCUAGUGAUAUCAUCAGUUAUAGUAUCAAGUUGGUGACAGGUGAACAAUUCCUUUCGGCAUCCAGUUAGUGUUUCCUAAAAACAAUAAUCAACAAGAAAUGUUGAGCAUGUUGAUAUCAAAGUGGCACAUAAAGAUAAAGGUGUAAUUACAAUGCAAACACAACACAAAAAAUUAUGACGGUUCAGGAGAACCUUGGGGGGUAACAUAUCAAUGUUCAAAUAAUAGUUGAUGAGGCAGUUCAAUGCUCUUCUGUCAAACUGAGAUGAGUUUUCAACAGUCAUGCCAUACUUUGAGCAUAUUGCCUGCAGAAGACAAAACAACAUAGGUAGCAAUUAGACAAUAAAGGCAGGGUUGUACGAUUAGCACAAUACAACUUCAAAAAUAGUAUGCUUAAAAGGAUACUAGAUCAAAAUGACCAAAACAUUUAAGAUUAACAAAAGAUCAAUGCUGUUACUGUGUUGUCUUUGAGCUUGCAAUAUAUUGAGGCAGUGGUUACAUCAAGAAUAUCGUAUACAAUGUGGUGCACGGAAACCCAGGCAUGAGCAUUUUCAGCAGAAAGGAUACAAUGAAAUGGCAAUGACAACAGCCUUUUUACAAACAAAAGAAUACUUAAUAAGCAUUUUUUAACAGUCUUGAUACUUCUUAAUGCAAUGAUACACAACACUCCUGUGCUUUUGAGAAACAAAAGUCUUGAUACUUUGUUCAUGAAUCAGGCUGAGGAAAGCAAUCGUUACAACUUCAAACAAAUCAUGUAAUCCAUGGACUCAUUUACUUUUUAGCACACAACUAUGUGAGCAACAGAUAAAAGAAACAAAGGAAUCCUUACCUGAACCCAAUUGUAAAGCAAACCCAUGUGUGGCUUGUUCUCAGACAUUUGUUGUUCCUGAAAUAAAAGAAACUCCUUAAUAGUAAACGUCCUCAGCACGUUCUCAAAAAGAAAUAGAACCCAUCCUUAAAAGUAACCAACAAAAGUCUCAGAUCAAAAUGAUAAGCACAGAAGCAAACAUAUACGGUAGGUCGGUAGCUUCAUCAAGGAACUUUUGUCUACCGUGAGCAAAUAAAAUACACACUGCAUGGUAUGUUGUCCCAUUCUAUCCACAUAUUUUUAACUGUUUAUUAAGACAGAUGAACGGAUCACUCACCAUUACAUGUACAUUUAGCCUGGUUAAUUCACGAGCUAGUGAGGCUGUGCUUGCUAACAAUGGUAGCUGCACAGGAGCAAAAGGUAACAAGAGUCAAUGAAACAUAUCAAUUAUUCUGGAAUCUGAAUGAGUUAGAUGAAAACAUUGCCUUGACCAAAAAAAAACAUUCAGAGACGUUUAGUUUACAAAUUGCACAGUAACCUAUAAAACCACUAUAUGAAUAAUAUAAUUUAACAGUUUGGGGUGAGAAUAGACAUUACGAUGAUAAGAUUAAAUAAUACACAUAACCACUAAGUAAAAGCAAUUAACGAAACCUAAUGAGAAUGAUGUGAAACUGAAGGUUGGUUAACUCCUACAGUGAGCAAUCUAGAACUCUAUAUCUUAGCAAUAAAAAUUCAAUAGCAUUAUAUUGAACAUUUGACCUGCAUAUGGAUGAACAUAUUCCACAGCAGUGAAAGAAUAAGCUCCUUAUCCCCAGCAGCGAUGUCUUCCGCCGAAAUUGUGACUCCAUCAGAAUCAGAUAAUGGAACCUGAGCUUGUUUGAUAUAUUGUAUAGCAGUGCUGCAGUUACUUAGCCUCUUCUUGUUUGUAUCUGAGGGAGCAAUUACUUUCUGAAAUGAAGCGAUUGGCACCGUAAAUCAAAUGCUAAUAGGAUCUGGCUGAUUAGUGUAGCAAAAGGAAAUUUUUACCGAAAUGAUUGAUGCAUCUGCGAGGAGCAGCUGAACAACUCUACAAAGAAUUAUGCCAUCUUGGAGAUCUUCAAAUAAACUCCUCAUAGUGAAAUCAUAUUCUGACAGAGCAGGCUGGCGAGAAAAAGAAAAUCAGAAUAAUCUGACAAUAUUCAAACAAAAUUUAAACUAUACCAUUACUGAAAGAAACUUAUACAACCAAAAACACAAAACCAAAUUGUUUGGUAGCAAUACAGCAAAUACGGAUACCUGUUGAUAAUUUAGCUUAUAUCCCAUAGUUGUGAGGUGUAUCAGAAUGUCACCUUCUCCAUGCAUGGUCUCCCUCAAAGACUCUAGAAUUAAGUAAUCAGUCAAAGAAUAGAAUGGCAACUCAAUAUAACACUUGCAUGGCACAGAAAAACAAAAAUAAAAAGCGAUGGAUUCAGCUAUAUUACCCUGAAUGAUUUGACGACUAGAUUUUAUUUGACCUUGGUGAGAAAAUAAAAGAGGGGAUCCACCAUCAAGGCCAUCGAUUCCAGCUUCGAGAGGUAGAGCACUUUCUAUUUUGGCUCUGUCUAGUGCAACAACAAGCAGAAAAAUUCUUUUCAAUAUAAUAUUGCCCAGCACUUCACUGUAACCUUGUACAUGGUGCUUUUCUACCACAUUCUUGUGACCAGAUGAUUUUGCAGUCAUCAUUUGAGAAAACAUAUACUUCUCCAGAAUUAGUUUUAGAAAAUGAACCUCCUUGUCCCAUUUUCCUUGUCCAGUCUGCAGCAAGGAAUCACUGCCAAGGACAAUAUGCAAGCCAAUCCUGAGCCAAUAUGGGUUGUAGGACAUGAAAAUCCUAGUUGCUUUCUCUUUGAGCCUAAGGUCAGUAACAAGGGGGCACUGUGCUUUCAUCUUCAAUCUGCCUUCGUCAAUGUUCUGAAAAAUGUGGGGGGAAAUACUGUGCCGGUUAGAGGGUAAUGAUUCUACUGUGUAAUAUAUGCUGAAAACUUUUUGCCAUUUAUAAGAACUAGGUAUAGUUUAGAAAAUAAGAAAGUGCAUGAGAAGUACUCUCUCUCUCUGUUCCAAAUUAUAUAUUGUUUUGACAUUUCUAAAUAUAUAUAUAGUUUUUAUUAUAUAUCUAGACAUAAGGUAAGCAAAAGCUAUGUACAAAAGCAAAAUGACGAGUACAGUUCGGGACAGAUGGAAUAAGAGUUUAAGAUACUAUAAUCGUUGCAGUCUCUGAUUUUUAGCAUAUCUUCUUGUGGAAAAUACUGCAGGCACUCUUAUACAGAUAACAAAGUGAUGCAUAAUAAGUCACCAUAUAUGUGUCAUAUACCCAUAUCCAAUUUUCACAUCUUACAUAAGUUAUUUUCAAAGACGAGGCUAUACUUUUCACAUCUACACUCGUAAUUUAAAUGUUACCAUGUCCAGCUCUUCAAAUACAAUCCAAAAAGAAAACGGACAACACAUAUCAGUUUAGCAGUUUGGACUCAGUCUAAAGACAGGACGAAAUUGGAUAAUUCAUUAUUUCAAAUUUCUAACCUAACAAUCCAAAAUUAGCAGAAUGUUAAAUGCCAAAGCCGUAGAGUUUGAACCCUCGAAAAUUUCUCACCUUACAAAUUUGAAACAUCAUGAAGAGCACCUCCUCACACGCACCCUUACUCAUGUAGUUCUCCAUCCUCUCCGUAACAUCCUCUAGGCUGCACGCCUCCCUCAGAUAUUCCCUUAACGCGGCCACCAUCGCCGGCGUCAUCUCCUUCCUCCUCUCCCCGCAGCGAUCACCAGCACCGCGGUGCCUCUUCGGGCUGCGCCCCCCACGCGGCCUCUCUCCAUCGAGCGCGCCGCGCUUCCCCGCAGCGCAGGGCUGCGCGGCCGCGGCGGAACCGGUGACCGCCGGGGAGCAGCCGCAGGCGGAGGGGUCGCGUAAGAGGAGCGACAGCCAUGACGAGGCGGAGGCGGCGAAGGCACGGAGUGCACGCUCGCGGCCGGACUCGGCGCGGCGGGCGGAGCGCGACUGGUCAACCUCGAACGCGCGGAGGCGGCGGCCGAGGGGCGUCAGGGUCGGGGCGCCGUUGCCAGGCCUCCGGCGGCCGCGUGGCGUCGGAGUGGGAGCAUGGAGUGGGGUUUUGGAGGCGGUGAAGAACUGCGGCGAGGGGGGUACGUCAUUGGGGUUGGGUCUCGGGGUGCGGAGGUUGGAGAGGUCGCGGAAGGGGGAGGCGGCGGGCUCGCCGCGGCUCAUGGCGGACGGGGAGGGACGUUCUAGAAGGUUUGGGGGGCGGCCUCCAUGGAUUCGGGAAGGUUCGAGGGGAGCGCGGGGGAUUGGGGGGAAGGGGACCGUGGCGUUCGAAUUACUGGGGACGGGGUCAGUAUUUGGCGUUUGAGCGGGAUUCAUGGUUUUGGAUGUCGAACGGUCGAAUUUCGAAAUGCACGCUCCUCUGUUGGGCCAGGCUUACAUGGGCCUCAAUCUAUUUGCAGUGGGUCCAUUUCGAAAUGCACGCUCCACUGUUGGGCCAAGGCUACUUGAGCCUAGGCUGUGGGGCACCAAGGCACACAUCAAUUUUUUUCAAACUUUUUCAGGUGAUGUCUCGUUUUUCUUUCGGUUUGAAACAUUUUAACCAUUCAUUCAUUCAUGCAGAGCAAAAUCAUUAAAUCGUAGCAGAAAAGUUGUACUGUAAUAAAUACCUAGAAUAUAUAUGUCUAUUGAUUGAAACUUUUGAGAAUUUUUUUUCUAAUUCUACUGAACACUUAGUACCUUUGUACUCUCUCGGUCCUAGCCGCUUUUGCACAGCUUACCAUUUGAAAUAGAGGGGUAUUUGCUUCGCCCUUGGAGUUAUGAUUUGUACUGCCUAUACCAGAGACCACACCAAAAUCAGUUGCGUGCCCCAAGCGACAUCUAUAACUCUUAUAAUCAUAAACUCCACUAACUAUUUCUCUAAACAUACAAACUAUCAACCUAAGCAAUACACUACCAUAUUUAAUUAAAAUCCACUAAAUAAAACCGCAAUAACUAUUUAUCUCAACAUGCAAUGCACUACCACAUAUACAAUUAAAAUUUUUUUUUGCAAAAUGGAUACUCUAUUAUUUUAGGUAUCAACAUAAAGUUUGGAUCAAAUGAUAGACGAGUACUAAGGCCUUGUUUACUUACAAAAUAUUUUGCAAAAUAUGAAUAAUACCAAUUUCGUUUGUAUUUGACAAAUAUUGUCCAAUCAUGGACUAACUAGACUCAAAAGAUUUAUCUCGUCAAUUCCGACCAAACUGUGUAAUUAGUUUUUAUUUUCGUCUAUAUUUAAUACUUCAUGCAUACGUCUAAAGAUUCGAUGUGACGGAGAAAUAAAAAAUUUUGCAAAUUUUUUUUGGAACUAAACAAGGCCUAAAAAAAUACAAACCAUUUCCCCCACUUUGUCCAAAAAAUGAGUUUUUUUAGAUUAUGGAGUUUGCAUUUAUUAAAUUAGUUCUAUCUUUUCACCGGUUUCUAUCCCAUAUAUUAUCACAGACAAGCAAAAAGGCACGGAGACGCGUGAUAGGGCGAAUUAGGAAAGGAGGCGGCAGACGAUGCCUUGGUCGCUUUCGAUGUUGGGAACAAGAACAAAAUGUAUAGUCGCCUUUCGUUUCUAGAUCGUGCAAAAGCAUCGCCGGCGCUUGCAUGCACCGAGCACUGUGCAUCGCUGUUGUUGCUCCUUCCCGUGCUAGGCGCACGAAAGUACCCGCCUACCCGGCCGUGUACCCGCUUGUGUUUUGAGCAGUGGCAGUGGCCAGCUGCGGCGGACAAGAAGGAGCCAGUCGUGCGUUGGUUCCCGGCGGCGGCGCUGCCCAGGGCACUCCCCACCUCGAGUCCUCCACUCGCGUCCACCUCCAUUUUCUUCGUCUCCCACUCGGAGUCAACUCGAUCAUGCAUCGUGGUCUUCCCUUGACGUGCAACGGUGCAAUGCGACCACGGCCCACUCGCCCAGCACUGGUCGUGCUCGGUGUCCGACCGUCACGUACCCGUACGACGGCACGCGAUUCGGGCAAGGCGGCAAGGCCCAGUUGGCGACUUCGCGGAGCGAAUCCUGCAGUACAGUGCGUGGCUGACGAGCAGGCGCACAGGCUUUUCUGACCGGCCAUUGCCCGUCCGCCACGCACGGCACACAGGACGGAGGCAACAGUGGCAGGCAGAGCGGCGCUCCGCUUCCCCGUUCCUCCCCGCCCGAAAGCACGAUGAAAAGGUGCUGCCAUAAACGGAAAAGACUUGGCACUGCGCACCAGCUAACCUCUCGCAUCGCAGUCUCGCCCGACCGACCGGACGGAUAGGAGCAGAGCCAGCCUCUAGGCGCAAGAGGCAACACGCAACGCAAGGAGGUCGAAGCCAACCAAAGAACCACUGCGGAUGGAGCCCAUGGAGGCGGCGGUGGGAGGGAAGGCGGUGGACGCGUACCGGAAGGCGCUGGCCACGGCGGCGUCGGCGGCGGCGUACGCGGUCAUGGCGCGCAGCAUGGCGCGGGAGCUGCUCCCCGAGGAGCUCCGCGCCGCGGCGCGCUGGGCCGCGUCGGCGCUGGGCGCACGGGUCGGCUGGGGCCAGAGGGACCGGCGCACGCUCGUCGUCCGGAGCCAGCCGAGCAGCACCGGCGCCGGCGCCGACGACAACCUCCUCUUCGAGGCCGCGCGGACGUACCUGGCGUCCAGGCUCGACCCGCGCGCCAUGCGCCGCCUGGGCGUCACGCUUGCGCGCGCCAGGGACGACGCCGGCCGCGCCAGCUGGCGGAGGCUCCUCUUCCUGGAGCCCGGUGGCUCCACCUUCGACGACUUCGAGGGCGUCCGCUUCACGUGGACGUGCGUCGAGCCGACGUCGUCCGGCGGCGCCAGCGGCGGCGGGAGCAAGAAGAAGGCCAAGAAAGGAGGCGAGCCCAGCGCCGGCGGCGACCGCGACUUCGUGCUGGAGCUCAGCUUCGACGCCCAGCACACGGACGUCGCCAUGGACCGCUACGUGCCCUUCGUCAUGCACGCCGCCGAGGAGGUGGAGCAGCGGGAGCGCGCGCUCAAGAUCUGCAUGAACGAGGGCCGGAUGUGGUACAGGAUGAGCCUCCACCACCCGGCCACGUUCGAGACGCUCGCCAUGGACCCCGCGCUCAAGCGCUCCAUCGUCGCCGACCUGGACCUCUUCAAGAGCAGGAGGGACCACUACCGCCGCGUCGGCAAGGCGUGGAAGCGCGGGUACCUGCUCUACGGCCCGCCUGGCACAGGCAAGUCCAGCCUCGUGGCCGCCAUGGCCAACCACCUCCGCUACAACCUCUUCGACCUCGACCUCUCCCAUGUGCAGUUCAACACCUCGCUGCAGUGGCUGCUCGUCGGCAUAUCCGACAAGUCCAUCCUCGUCAUCGAGGACAUAGACUGUUGCUGCGAUGCCGUGUCGAGGAAGGACGACAAGGCGCCGCCGGUGCGUACCUGCGGACGUAAAGAAGACGAUGGUGGCGACGACGACAUCGACGACGGCCCUGCACCGGAGUCGGGCGCUCCCCCACCGCGCACUGCUCCGCCGCCCAACAAAUCAAACAGCAAUCAGGUAACUAAACUACACCCGUUUAAAUCAAGCUGAUCUUCGCAGCGUUCACUGUUGUAUUGUAUCAUCAUAUGACUGACUCGACGCCAACAAUGGUGUCCGCCGUGCGCGCGCGCGCUCUGCCCGGGAACAACCUCAGGUGACUCUGUCCGGCCUGCUCAACUUCAUCGACGGGCUGUGGUCGACCAUCGGCGAGGAGCGCAUCAUCGUCUUCACCACCAACUACAAGGACCGCCUCGACCCGGCGCUGCUGCGUCCGGGGCGCAUGGACAUGCACAUCUACAUGGGCUUCUGCGGCCGAGAGGCUUUCAAGACGCUCGCCCACAACUACUUCCUCAUCGACGACCACCCGCUGUUCCCGGAGAUACAGGAGCUGCUCUCGGAGGUGGAGGUGACGCCGGCCGAGGUGUCGGAGAUGCUGCUGCGGAGCAAUAACGCCGACGUCGCGCUCCGGGGGCUCGUUGAGUUACUCGAGGACAAGAAGGAGAAGAAGAAGCAGGCAGUGCCUACUGAAGAGAAGCAGAGUGAAGAAGAAGAAGCUGGGAAGGAGGAAGCGGCAUCAAGGGAACAACCAUCGAAGUAACUCGAUCGCAUCGAGAGCUUGCUAGGGAACAAGAUGAACUGCUUUCUCUUGGUAUUUUGUUUUGUUUGGCAACAAGUGUCAUGUUGUCAAAUUGUCACGCUACUGCUUACUAGCAAGACACUGCUGGUAUACUUGCUGGUCUAUGCAUAACAUUGUAGUGGAUGGUAGCAGCUCGUCAUUAUGUUGCACUCUUUAGGCCUUCUUCCAUGUCAUGAUAUUUUGCAUGGUGAGGAAUUGAUGCCCCUCUUCGGAAUGGUGAUUUAUUGGAAGAAUAUGUAUGAUCUCUGAUCUAUGCUAUGCUAAAUCGCUAAUCCAACAGUGAUUAAGGCAUUGAACCACAACUCUUACCGCUCCUACAACGGGGCCCGUUCCCGUUACCUGCAGAGGGAACCGGGGCUCAGCAGCAAGUCCAAUUUGUUUUUUUCUCGAGAAACACCAGCAGCAAGAUAUAUCGUGCUGCAGAUCGAUACCAAGCCUUACCAUUGACUGAGUUUGAUUGAUUACACUGGGUUUACUUAACUAAAAUGGUGCUGAGGCAGAUACUUUGAAGCUCUUACGUAGUACUAGAGUUCUGUUUGAAGCAUUAAUGUCGAAUAGCAUUUUAUAAAUGCUUCAUCAUGAACCAUUUAUGUCUGUAAUGCUAAACGUUUACUAAAACAGACUGUUGUCUAAUGAAAUGUUUCAUUUCUGCCUUUUGUACUCGCUACCUUUUGUCCUUGGCAAGGCCUUGCAACGUUAUUCUUUAGAAAAUGUUGUUGAGUUAUGUUGGGUCUUCGGCUGGGUGUGCAAUGGGCCUCCAACGAGCUUCUUGCUCCCAGCUUGUCGAGUAAUUUCCACAAAAAUCGGUCAACUUGAACAUGUACCACACUUCCAUAAACCAUUACGGUUAUAACUACUAAAUAUAAUUUGUUGCUUACGCUCGGUCUAAAUAAAUAGUUUUCGUUUAAUAAAUCUUAUUAACAUAUUUGCUCCAAGUAUCAAAAUUUGUUAAUUUUCAUUUCAUAAAGUUUGAAACUUCUUUUACCUAUAAUAAGAGGACGUCGCAAAUAUAUUUUCUAACCAAACACAUUUUGUUUAUAUAAUGUAUCAUAUCUUCCAAAAAUGAAAUAAUUAUUGUGUGUCUGUUGUAGGAUUUAGUAUAAUAUAAUUGUAUUAGGACGUCAACUUUGUUAACCAUAAACGUGUGUAUGCUCGUACGUGCAGGUCUACUACGAGAAAAUGGGAAUUCUGCCAUUAUGGAAGGUGAGUUUCGCUGUUUUACCAUCCUAAAAAUGGGUUUCGCUCAUUUUUCAUUAUAAAACAUGUGCAACCCGCUAGAAUAUUAUUUGGUGAGUUUAGAGUUUAGAGAAAAUAAAGAACAACAUUUUCUUCUAGAUUUACCCCUCCCCUUUUUUUCUUCCAGAUAUUUUAGUAAUGGGAGUUCUCUUGCUUCAUACCUUGUAGCAAACUAUAGGCUCUUUAUUAGGGAUAUGAUCAAAGUAAUUUUACUAACUAUAGUUUGGUAAUUUUUAUGCGUAACUCAUAGUUCACAAUUUUGUUUCGCCGGUGCCUAUUCUAUGAUUACUAGGAAUAAAAAUGCUUACUCUAGGAGAGGAAUGCAUUGUGCUUAGUAAUGUAACAAACAUACAUACUUAGAUACAUACAUACACACCUAUUACCACAAGAUAAUAUACAACACCAUGUCAACAUCUAGCAACGAAGAACAACACAAUUUGAAUGAAUCUUAAUGAAUAUGAUUACUCAUUUCAAUAAGGUUAUAUGGACCAUAACACAACCUAUCAGUAAAUUGUUGUUCUUAUCUCGAAAUAGUUUAGGGAUUCUUGGAAGAUGGCUGUAGCAUCUGUCUGGCACAUCUAUAGUAACCAUUGAUAUAGAUCUUUAAUAUUAAGUAUAAAUAUAGAUAUAGAUAUAGAUAUAAAUUUUUAAUAUUAUGUAUAGAUAUAGAUUAAAUAGAUCGUCAAUCUAUUUUUAUAAUAAGCUCUUUAGAGAUACAAAUUGCUAGUAUUUUGCACAAUCCUAGUCAAGUUUCCCAUGUGAACAAAUAUAAGGGCACUACUAAUGGAUGCUAACACUCAUAGUGGUUUUAGUACAAAUAAAGUGAUCCAUGUAGACUAAAAUUGUUCAGACUACUAUUCACACAAUGCAAACUACCCCUACUUGUGGUUUGCAAAGAAAUCUUUUUCCUUUCAUCAAGCCUCACAUUCAUUUGCUCUCCCUCUUCUUUUUUUAAAGUAUGGACCACCUUCUCUUUCCUUUAAGCAUAUAUACUGCAAGCAACUAUGACAAGUGUUGCGUACCUAUUUUUUAUCUGAUCUUAAGGCCUUAUUUAGUUCAUGAAAAUUUUUAGUUUUAGCUAUUGUAGCACUUUCGUUUGUAUUUAUAUAUUGUCCAACCAUAGACUAACUAGGCUCAAAAGAUUCGUCUUGUAAUAUAUAGGUAAACUGUGAUUAGUUAUUUUUUAUCUAUAUUUAAUGCUCCAUAUAGAUACCGCAAGAUUUGAUAUCACGGAAAAUUUUGAAUUUUUUUUUGGAUUUUAGGUGUAACUAAACAAGGACUAAAUGAUACUCGAAGCUCUAAGUAAAAAAAAACAGUGUUGAAAAAGGCCUAAAUGGACACAGGGAGUAUAAGGUCUUGUUUAGUUCUUUUUUUUUUUGCAAAAUAGUUACCGUAGUAUUUUCGUUUGUAUUUAAUAAAUAUUAUCCAAUCAUGGACUAACUAAGCUUAAAAGAUUCGUCUCGCAAAUUACAGACAAAUUGUGCAUAGUCAUUAUUUUUAUCUAUAUCUAAUUUUUUUUACAAAAUUUUUGGAACGCCUUGUUUAGUUCAAAAAAAUUUGCAAAAUGGACACUAUAACACUUUUGUUUGUAUUUGACAAAUAUUGACUAAUCAUGAACUAACUAGACUCAAAAGAUUCGUCUCGCAAAUUACAGACAAACUAUACAGUUAGUUAUUAUUUUUAUCUAUAUUUAAUGCUGAAUGCAUGUGCCAUAAGAUUCGAUGUGAUGAGAAAUCUAAUUUUUUUUGAACUAAACAAGGCCUAAACUGGGCCUAAGUACAACAUGUUCCUUAGUCCUUAAGCAUGUUGACCACACUAAACAGUGAACAGGGAUAAUGGAGGCAGGUAAUUAUGUUUUUCCCGGCAAAAGCCAGAAAAAAUCCCAAGAACGGCAAGCCAGACUGCAGGGUUGACUUGACUAGGCAAUGGUCAUGGCCGGCAGACGCUCUUGCUCGACCACCGCGUCGGAUGCGCGGCUUUGACCGUGAAUCCACUCCCCUGAGCACACGCAUCGGUUAUUAUAUCAGUAUUGGUGCACAACUGUCUCUUGUGCUUUCUUUUUUAAAAAAUAAAUCUCUGGCAUAGAGUUUUAUUAGAAACUAUUAAUAAUAAUUUUCGUUAAAAAAUCUCACCGGACUUGGAUAGAUCUGCAUGCCCGGCUGUUGCGAUCCCAAUCCCAAGCGUACACGAUUGUGUCUCUCCCUCCAAUACAACACGGGGACGGGGGUGCACAGCACAUUGGUUGUGGCUACAUAUACGAGCGCACCCAGACUGUAUGCCGCUUGGUGAUUCUUUUCAGAUUCUCUCGUCCCCUGCACAGACGAGACGAGACGAGACGACGUCGGAGCGGGGUGGGCGAUGGAUCCGUCGAAUUCGAAGGCGGUAGCGGCGUCGUUGCCGUCCUACGGCAAGGUGCUGGAGACCUACAAGAAAGCGGCGGCCACGGCCGCCACGGUGACCGCGUACGCCGUGCUGGCGCGCGGCAUGGCGCGGGAGCUGCUGCCCGACGAGCUGCGCGAGGCCGCGCGCUGGGCCGCUGAUUUCCUGCUGCACGGCGGCGCCAGGCUGCGCGCGCCACCGCAGCGACGGACCUUCGUCAUCAAGCGGUUCGACCAGGAGAGCCCCAGCGGCGACAACGGGCUCUUCGCGGACGCGAGCGCGUACCUCGCCACCCGGAUCGACCCGCACACCACCACGCGGGUCUGCAUCGCCCGCCGCAGCGCCGUCGGCCCCGGCGGCGGCGGCGGCGGAGGAGGAGGAGGCUACGACUACGACUACGAAUACGAAGACGCGUACGGAGACGGAGACUGCGGCGGCCGCGAAGCCGAAGCCCGAGAUGACGGCGGCGGCGGCGGCGGGAGGCACGUCCUGUCCUUGGAAGUCGGCGACAGGAUGGCGGACAUCUUCGAGGGCGUCAAGUUCACGUGGAUGACCGUCGGACAGGGACAGGCCAAAGGCAACAACGACCACGUGACGUCGCUGGAGCUCACCUUCGACGCGGAGCACACGGACAUGGCGCUCAAACGGUACAUCCCGUUCAUAGCGGCGACCGCGGAGGCGGCGCGGCUGCGGGAGCGCACCCUCAAGAUCUUCUCGAGCGACUUCGGGUCGUGGCGCGGCAGCAGCUACCACCACCCGGCCACGUUCGACACGCUGGCCAUGGACCUGGACCUCAAGCGCUCCAUCAUCGCUGAUCUCGACCGCUUCCUCAAGCGCAAGGAUUACUACCGGCGCAUCGGCAAGGCGUGGAAGCGCGGGUACCUGCUCUACGGCCCGCCGGGCACCGGCAAGACCAGCCUCGUCGCCGCCAUGGCGUGCUACCUCCGGUUCAACCUCUAUGACCUCGAUCUCUCCAAGGUGGACUCCAACUCCUCGCUGCAGCGCCUGCUCACUUCCAUGUCCAACAAGUGCAUCCUCGUCAUCGAGGACAUCGACUGCUGCUUUAGCGCAACAAGCCGUGGCGGCGGCCCAGUGAAGAGCGGCGACGAUGACGACGAUGAAGACGACCCAUCUCCACCAAACGAUGAGGACAACUACUCCAAUAGGGUAAGAGAUUAGAUUAGAUUAGAUUGUGAAUUACUAUAAUCGUCAUUAUAGCACCAGAAUUGUCUUUUUGCUUUUUGUCUGACCUAUGUAGUAUCUUUUCAGCGUCAUCAGAGAGAGGGCAUAACACUGUCCGGCCUGCUCAACUUCAUCGACGGGCUAUGGUCGACCAGCGGCGAGGAGCGCAUCAUCGUCUUCACCACCAACUACAAGGACCGCCUCGACCCGGCGCUGCUCCGGCCAGGCCGGAUGGACAUGCACGUCUACAUGGGCUACUGUGGCUGGGAGGCAUUCAAGACGCUGGCUCGGAACUACUUCCUCGUCGACGACCACGUGUUGUUCCCGGAGAUGCAGGAGCUGCUCUCGGCAGUGGAGGUGACGCCGGCCGAGGUGUCGGAGAUGAUGCUACGGAGCGAGGAUGCCGACGUCGCGCUCCAGGGACUCAAGGAGUUCCUCGAGGAGAAGAAGCAGGGCAAGCAAACAGGAGAUGCGGGAAAGGCAUGAAAAACAACAGACGAUAUUUCACAAAUUAAAUGAUACUAUAGUAUGAUGUUUAUCUACCACUCUGACAGUGUGAUCUUCAGUUGUGCAGCCGAUGGAAUUUUAACAAUAUUUAUUAAAAGCAUCUACUACAAAAGUGUCGAUUUUAUUAUGACAAAAUGGAAAAAAAGUCAUGCAACAUUUUUUAAAACAACUCCCUAAAAUCGUUGCUAAAUCUUCCACAAGCACUUUGCAUAUUUUGCACACCCUCCCACGUGUUUUCGACACCCCCACCCCACCCCUUCCCAAAACUGGGAGCUUAGUGCCCCUUCCAAGUGGAAUGAGACUCCACAAAAACGUUGCUCCAUACCUGUGGAUUUGGCACGGCACGACACAACACAAAGAGCUCAUAGGGUCAUAUGCUAUCCUGAUCCCCGUAGGGCCAUGCGUUGGUUGAGCCCGUGGGCCGGGCCGAGCAGUCCAUUUGGACACCUAUAGCAGGAAAUUAAAAGAAAAGUUUAUAAUCCGUAGUUGUAAAUAGACCCUGUAGGAUUCACACUACAGCAUUCCACCUCUAUUUUGGUUCGCUUUUGCUGGAUGUAAGGUUCGACCCUAAUGUUGUAGCUGCCCUGAUGCAAAGCUGAGGCUGGUUUCCAACACAGCCUAUUUCUUCUUUAAAAAAAAAACUAUCUAGGAGAGCUAGGUGGACCAGGAAAAUUUGUUACCACUUAAGGUGUGUUGAUAUCCAAAUUUUUAUACAAACAUUUUGGAUCUAGAUUCUCUAUAAAAACAUUUCAGGUGAUGAAUCAAAAUGACUUUAUGAAACUAUUUGGAUGUUAGCCUCAAUUGUAAUUCUUGAAAGAGCAUUUUUAUACAAAAAAAAUCAUAUUAAUGAAAUAUGCUUUAAAAAAAGGACCCCCGAACUUUUUUUGGGUGAACACCACCUUCAAUGCAACCCAUUGUAAUUUGUUGAGUUGCACUAAGAAAAAUAAUAUAUAACCGAAAAAACUACGAUUAUCAGUACACUAUCGCGAAACUAGAAUCCAUGUGAAACCUGAAACGUUUCGCUGUUGCUGUGUUUGGCAUGGUUUCUGCCGCUUUUUUUUGGUAGAAUCAGAACCGAUUGGGUCUUCCGAACGGCCCCUAAAACCUAAAAUUUUUUCAAAAUUCAUCAUCACAUCAAAUCUUUAGACACAUACAUGAAGUAUUAAAUAUAAAGAAAAAUAAAAACUAAUUAUACAGUUUAAUCGAAAUUGAUUUUCAAUUGAGAAACUAAACACGGCCCCAUUGUCCAUUGGAGUAAUGGAGUUUUGGAGAGGUUCACAAAUUCACCCACAACAGAACGACCAUAACAGCAGCUAACAGUUCGCCAUCGAAGAUAGAGAUUAAGGCCUUGAUACGAAAAGAUUUUGGAUUUCGCUACUGUAGCACUUUCGUUUGUGUAUGUCAAAUAUUAUCCAAUUAUGGACUAACUAGGAUCAAAAGAUUCAUCUCGCGAUUUACAGUUAAACUGUACAAUUAGUUUUUAUUUCCGUCUAUAUUUAAUGCUUCAUGCAUGUGCCGAAAGAUUCAAUGUGACAAGGAAUCUUGAAAAGUUUUUGGUUUUUGGAGUGAACUAAACAAGGCCUAACUAAUUACUAGGAGAGCUAACAAAAUACUAACCAGAAAGCAUCAGCAUUGGCUCUUGAUGCAGACGCACUACUUGGACGUGCGCCUCCCCUGCUUCUUCUUGUCCUGGAGGAACUCCACGAACUCCUGCAGCGCGACGUCGGGGUCCUCGCUGCGCAGCAGCAUCUCCGACACCUCGGCCGGCGUCACCUCCACCUCCGAGAGCAGCUCCUGAAUCUCUAGUUGGUGGUGAAGAUGAUGAUGGCGACCACAGCCCGUCGAUGAAGUUGAGCAGCCCAGACAGGGUUAUGCCCUGCCGCGGCGAAGGUCCCUGGAUGGCAUUGGCAUUCAUUCCGGGCACAGAAAUGUUGUCAGAAAAUUGUGUUUGCUCUGCAAAAGAAUCAAGGCCUUGUUUAGUUCCAAAAUAUUUUGCAAAAUGGACACGGCAGCUCUUUCGUUUGUAUUUGACAAAUAUUGUCCAAUCAUGGACUAACUAGGCUCAAAAGAUUUGUCUCGUCAAUUCCGACCAAACUGUGCAAUUAGUUUUUAUUUUUGUCUAUAUUUAGUACUUCAUGCAUGUGUCUAAAGAUUCGACGUGACGGAAAAUCUGAAAAAUUUUGUAAAUUUUUUUGGAAUUAAACAAGGCCCAAAGGGAAAUGAAAUAUCUUGUAGCUAUACGGGUACCGUGUAGUAGCGAGCUCUUGGUGGAGGCUCAUCUGCUGAAGAACAGUCUUCUAUCGCCAUCGUCGUCCUUGGUGCGCUGGUUGGUGCCUUCCCUCGACUUGGUGCUGAAGCAUCAGUCAGGCCUUUUUAGGGUUUAGGGUUUAGUUUGCAAAAUUUUUGCUUUUUGGCUAGUAUAGUAUUUUCGUUUUUAUUUGACAAAUAUUGUCCAAUCACAGAGUAACUGGUCUCAAAAGAUUCAUCUCACAAAUUACAGGUAAACUGUGCAAUUAGUUUUUAUUUUUGUCUAUAUUUAAUGCUCCAUACAUGCGACUAAAGAUUCGAUGUGACGGAGAAUCUUGAAAAUUUUUGCGAACUAAACAAGGCCUCAAUGUCCUCGAUGACAAGGAUGGACUUGUUGGGCAUGGCCGUGAGAAGCUUCUGCAGCGAGGUGUUGGAGUGCACGUGGGAGGGGUCGAGAUCGUAGAGGUUGAAGCGGAGGUAGUUGGCCAUGGCGGCCACCAGGCUCGACUUGCCGGUGCCCGGCGGUCCGUACAGUAGGUACCCGCGCUUCCACGCCUUGCCAAUACGCCGGUAGUAGUCCCUCCUCCUCAGGAAGCGGUCCAGGUCAGCGAUGACGGACUCCUUCAGCGCCGGGUCCAUGACGACCUCACGACCAUGCCGAACGUAGCCGGGUGCUGGUGCCUGAUGCCUUCCCAGGACCAGUCAUUGUUCAUGAAGAUCUGGAGCGCACGCUCCCGAUGCCGCGUCCCAAAAAUUAACAAAUACACUCUCCAUCUCAAAUUAUAAGUCAUUUUAAAAAUCUUAAAGAGUUAAAGCAUUUUCACGUUUGAUCAAAAUUAUAGAGUAAAAUAGUAAGAUUUGUAACGUAAAGUGAGUAUACUAUGAAAAUAUAAUUAAGGAAGAAUCUAAUGAUAUUUAGUUAGUAUCAUAAUAAUUAUUAUUUUAUCAUAUAAAUUUGGUCAAACUUUGAAAAGUUUGACUCUCCAAGAUUUUUGGAAUGAGUUACAAUUUGGAAUGGAGGGAGUACAAAAGAAGGUGUUAAGGUAUCUAAAUUUUUUUCACCCAACAACUAAACAGGGCCUAAACAAGACCUAACAGGAAAAAAAAAUCUGCUUGUCAGCUUAGGCCUUGUUUAGAUAUGAAAUUUUUUUGGAUUUCGCUACGGUAGCACUUUCGUUUGUUUGUGGCAAAUAUUGUCCAAUCCGAGACUAAAUAGGAUCAAAAAAUUUAUCUCGGGAUUUAUAGGCUAACUGUGUAAUUAAUUUUUAUUUUCAGCUAUAUUUAGUGCUUCAUACAUGUGCCGUAAGAUUUGAUUUGACGGUAAAUAUUGAAAAAACUUUUUGAAUUUUGGUGGAAACUAAACAAGGCCUUAUCCAAACUCAGCCCAGUGAAUUGUUGGAAGCUAGUACCUCGUGGGCUCUCGAUCGCACAGAUCGUUCCCCCGGCACCGACCCGGCUACCGUGUUGCCUGCCAUCGCCGUUUUAUUUGCCAUUGAAAGAUACUACAAGAGUUGAUUUUUUUUAAAAAAAAAGAAACAGAGAGAAGGAUGCAGCAGUUGCAGGAGCAAGUGGUGCGCUAGGCAACCCGUGCAGCGUCAUGCCUCGGUUUGCAAUUGCAAAUGCAACACAAGAAAUUGUUGAUGGUGUAUUGAUGUCCCCGUCUUCGCACAAAGGCGUCGAUCGGGACAUUGGAGUCCGGACUCCGGUCGCGCGAUCGCCGGACGCCUCACACAAAAAAAAGGCAGCCGGACCCAUGCUCGCAAGUCGCAAAUCGCCAUCGGUCUGUUGCAUGGACUUGUACCAGUGCAGUGCUUGCCUGCUGCGUUCUGCAAAGUGCCAAAGCAGCUAUGCCGCCAGUGCACAAUAUGAACCUGUGUCCUAGUAGUGGCAAAACAGCUAUGCUACCGGUACGGCGUGGCCUUGUUUACUUCCUAGAAAUUUUUGCAAAAUUUUUUACAUUCUCCAUCACAUCGAAUCUUUAGACGCAUACAUGGAGUAUUAAAUAUAUACGAAAAUAAAAAAUAAUUGUACAGUUUGAUCGGAAUUGACGAGACAAAUCUUUUGAAUCUAGUUAGUCUAUAGUUAGAUAAUAUUUGUCAAAUACAAACAAAUAUACUACAGUAUCGAUUUCGAAAAAAAAUUGCAAAAGCCGGCGCUGCCCGAGUCCGACUCGCACCAGUGACCAGUUCAUGGCUGGCCGCCUGGCCCGUGCGACGUCACGCUUGCCUGAGGUCUGUGGAAGUGGAACAGCCAAUUGACUGGAAGUCCAGAGCCUGCCUUUUUCUCUCGUUGAACUACCGUGCCAUAGAGAGAGCCCUCCCAGUCAGCCAGAGGAAGGCUCCAAAAAUUACCACCAGUAGUAUGGUCAGUACCAUUUCUUUCCCGUGCCAGAACCCUUUUCUGUGUUGCCACUACAGUGUUUGUCCAUGAAUUCCUGAUGACUGUUGGUGAAAGCCUGCAGUAAAAGCAUGGGACCUAGUACGUGAAGUAAUGCUUCACUUUAAUUUUAAAGUGCAAACGGAUUGGUAACUCAAAAAUGAUUGAUAGUUAAAAACUCUAUCUGAAAAAACGACGACAGUUAAAAACAAGAUUUAAGAAAAAAGAAGAAUAUAUUAUUGUUGGAUACGAUAGGUUUUCACCUGGACCAAAAAGUCAUUAACUCAGGCCUUGUUCAGUUCCGUAAUUUUUUAGUUUUUGAGUUCGGUAGCACUUUCGGUUUUAUUAAUAAUUAUUGUCCAAUUAUAAAUUAAUUAAACUUAAAAUAUUCUUCUCACGAUUUACAAAUAAACUGUGCAAUUAGUUUUUAUUUUCGUCUAUAUUUAAUGCUUAAUGUGUAUGCCACAAGAUUUGAUAUUACAGAGUUUUUUAUUUUUGGGAUGAGCUGCCUCCUAGAAACAACAGAAGUAAACAAGGCUAAAAUAUAGGGUAGGGAAAGUGGGAGAAAGAGAGAAAAAGAAAUGAAAAAAGCAAGCUCACCGUAAACUUGGGCUUUCUUCUGGAUACUGUAAUAUUUUCAUUUUUAUUAAAUAAUUGUUAUUUUAUUGUGGACUAAUUAGGUUUAAAAGAUUUAUCUCAUAAAAUAUAGAUAAAUUGUAUAAUUAGUUUUUAUUUUCGUUUAUAUUAAUAUUUUAUAUAUGUACCGUAAGAUUUAAUUCCACGAAGAAUUUUGAAUUUUUUUAACUAAACAAGGCCUAGCCUGUUAUAUGUAUGAGCCAAAAGAACGAUGACCUUGCCGUAAAAAAACAAAUCACUAUCAAGAACUAGGCCUGGUUAAAAAAAUCAAAAAAUUUUCAAGAUUUUCUAUCACAUCAAAUCUUACGACAUUUGUAUAGAAUAUUAAAUAUAGAUAAAAAUAAAAACUAAUUGCAUAAUUUGUCUGUAAAUCACAAGAUGAAUCUUUUGAGUUUAGUUGGUCCAUGAUUGGACAAUGUUUGUUAAAUAAAAACGAAAAUGCUACAGUACCAAAAUCUAAAAACAAAUCGUAAUAGCAAAUCAAAAAUGACAUGCUAUAUAGGCCCAGCAGGAAGAACACGGAGAGUGCUCCCUCUGCCAAGUGCCUACUACAACUCUGUAUCUUGCAGCCUUGCGGUUGCAACCACUCGGUCUCAGAGCCGGGCUGCCGGGGAGAUGGCGACGGAUCCCACCUCGGCAUCGGCGGCGGGGUUGCCGUCCUACGCGAAGGCGGUGGACGCGUACCGGAAGGCGGUGGCCACGGCGGCCACGGCGACCGCGUACGCCGUGCUGGCGCGCGGCAUGGCGCGGGAGCUCCUCCCCCAAGACCUCCGCGCCGCGGUCAGCUGGGCCGCGUCCCUCCUCCGCGCCCGCCUCGAGCCCCGCACCGCCGAGCGCCGCACCCUCGUCAUCAAGCGCGACCAGGAGUCGCACCACCACCACCACCCUUGCGACGGCGACGCGGCGCUCUACGUCGACGUGCGCCAGUACCUCGCCACCCGGAUCGACCCUCGCUCCAUGCGCCGCCUCUGCCUCAGCGGCGGCGUCUCCGGCUCAAGGAAGGUUCUCUCCAUGGAGCCUGGAGACUCCAUGAUCGACAACUUCGAGGGCGUCGCGUUCACGUGGGCGUCCGUCGCGGGUGAAGGCCGGCGCGGGAUAGUGGCAGAGUCGCUGGAGCUCAGCUUCGACGCCGAGCACACGGACAUGGCGCUGGAGCGGUACGUCCCGUUCAUCACGGCGACGGUGGAGGAGGCCCGGCGCCAGGACCGCUCGCUCCUCAUCUACAUGAACGAGGGCUCGGGGUGGAGCAGCAUGACCCACCACCACCCGGCCACGUUCGACACGCUCGCCAUGAACGGGGGGGCUUCGCGUCCGAACAGCCGGACUGGAGACGUCGGCCGAACAGCUCCCGCUCAUUUUUCCCGCCCAAAUUCUCGGUCGAUUUGUUCCAGAUCCGGGUCUGACGCGAACGAGCGCGCCCCAAUCACCGAGCCACGCAGGAAUCGGCUGCAUAUCAGCGUUGCUGACCCGCUGAGCCAUGUGGGUUACGUUAAUUUCCUUUUCCUCCCUUUUUUAUUCUUCUUAUUUCUUACUUUUUAUUUUUAUUUUUAUUUUUCUUUUCUUUUUAUUUUUCUUUCUUCUUUUCGUGCUUCAUUUUUUCAUUUUGUUUUCUUUUAUAUGUUUUACGUGAUUUUUAUUAUUAUUUCCAUUCUUAUAUUUUUAUGUUUCUUUUUUCUUUUCCUUUCUUUUUCUUAUUAUUUCCUUUCCUCUAGUUUAUUUUUUAUUUUUGUUUAUUCUCCGUUUCAUGUUAUUUUUAUUAUUCUUUUCAUUUUUAGUUUGUCUUAUUUAUUUUGUUUUUCUAUUUUAUUCUUUUUUGUUUUUCUUCUUUUUUAUUUUCCCUUUGACUUUAUGUUUUCUAUAGAGUUUUUUAUUUUUCUAUUUUACCUUACUUAAUUACUUUAUUCAUGUUUAUUUUUUAUUUUCUUUUAUUUUUGUCUUCUAUUCUUGUUAUUUUUCUUUCCUUUUUCCAAUUUAUUUUUGGUUUUAUUUUUCAUUUCAUGUGAUCUUUCAUUAUUCUUUUCAUUUUUUAUAUAUUUUUAUUUGUUAUAGUUCUUUUUUCAUUUACUAUUUUGUUUGUCAUAUUUUAUUUUAUUUUAAUAUUUAUUCUUUCUGUUUUUCUUUCUUUUUCUCUUUGCCUUUAUUUUUUGUAUAGAUUUGUUUUUCUGUUUAACCGUACUUUAAUUAUUUUCAUCUUAACUUUUUUUUUAUUUUUCUAUAUUCCAUGAGAUGUUGUGAUGUUUAUUUAAUAUUCUGUAAUAAAAAUUUUGUGAUGUUCACAUAAUACAUAUAUGAUGUUCUAUGAUAUAUUUUGUGAUGUUCCUGUAGUAUAAAUAUGAUGUUCUAUAAUAUACGUUGCGAUGUUAUAUGAUGUACUAUGUUAUUACGUCCACAUACUAUGAUGUAUUUUGUGAGAGCACCCCCCCCCCCCGACGCCGGGGGCUCUUCCCGUCCGCCCGUCGGACCAUAAAUUCGCGCCGAUACUUUUUCCCGCUUACUUUUCUCGCCCACAUAGGUAACUUCCGUAACCUCCACUCAAACGUGCAGACAAAUAAUAGACUAUCCCAUCGCAUGGGACCUACUCACCUAUGCAUACUAAUAAAUUUUAACAAAUUAAAAAAAGUUAUUACUCAUGAACCAAAUAUCAAAAUUAAAUUCUAAUUACACCAUUAGAUUUCUCGGAACAAAUACUUCAAAACAAGAUCUCGCAUGGAUAUAUUUAGAUAAAAUUUAAUUAACGAACAUUUAUCUUAUAAGGAUAGAACAUUUUCUUUUAUUGAGUAAAGACAAUAUUUUAGGUUCACAUAAUAAUGUUUCAUCUUCAUAAAAAAACUCGGUUUAAAAAAAUAGUGUUCUAGUUUUAGAUUUGUGAAAUUUGUAAUAUGAUAUACAUAAAAAUAAAUAAAUAAAUAAAUAAAUAAAUGGCGUAUGUAUAAAUAAUAAGCUCUAGAGUAAAACAUAAGAAAAAAAUAAAACAUGUAACAAAAAAUUGAAAGAACAUCGGGAAAUAUACUACAGAACAUCACUUGUGUAGUAAGUGAACAUUAUUAAAUACACCAUAGAACACUAUUAAAUAUAUUUAGAACAUCACAUAUAUAUUACGUGAACGUUAUUGAAUAAUCAUAGAACACCAUAUGUGUACUAAGUGAACAUCACUAAAUACACCAUAGAACAUCACUAAAUACAUUAUAGAACAUCGUAUAUAUUAUGUGAACAUCACUAAAUACACCAUAGAACACCAUUAAAUAUAUUAUAGAACAUCACAUAUAUAUUACGUAAACAUCACUAAAUAUAUCAUAGAACAUUACAAUACAUUGUGUGAACAUCACAAAAAAUAACAUAAAACAUCACAUGUAUACUAUGAAAACAUCACAUAUUUGGAACAUUACAUGUAUAUCACGUGAACACAAAGAAAACAUCACACAACAUCGCAUGUAUAAGACAUAAACAUAAAAAAAACAUCACUACAUGAACAUGAAAAGCAAUAUAGAACAUCUUAAAAGAUAAUAUAAAAAAAUAAAAGAAAUAAGAAAUAAAAGAAAGGUAAAAGAUAUAAAAAUAUAAAAAUAAUAAUAAACACAUAAAAACUAAAAUAAAAAACAAAAAAAAUAAAUGAACCACAAAAAGGGAAAAGAAAAGACAAAAAAAAAGAAAAAACAUGAAUUGAAUAAAAACGUAUACAGAAAAAAAUUUACUAAAAAUAAAAUAUAGAGCAAAGUAUAUAGAAAAAAUAAAAACGUGUAAUUAGAGAAAAUUUAAAAAAACACCAUAUAGAUACUUUUCAAACAUUGUAAAAUAUACUAAAGAACAUCACAUAUACCAUAGAGCAUAGCCAAAAUAUAUAUACGUGAACAUCACUAAAUAUAUCAUAGAACAUUACAUAUAUAUUAAGUGAACAUCAUAAAAGACAUCAUAGAACAUCUAAUGUAGACUAAGUGAACAUUAAUACCGAGUAAGCAACACAAAAAACAUCUUAGAACGUUAUAUGUAUACUAAGCGAACAUUAUUAAAUACACCAUAGAACAUCACUGAAAACAUUAUAGAACAUAGUGUGUG
Molecule: long non-coding RNA, 57000 nt
Filed under: Sorghum bicolor (sorghum)
Lineage: Eukaryota; Viridiplantae; Streptophyta; Magnoliopsida; Poales; Poaceae
Description: long non-coding RNA (SBIC_LNC003780)
Source: RNAcentral